AACAAGAAAAGUGUUAACUUUAAAUAAAUAAAUUAUGAUUAGUCUUAGUACAUUUUCACCAUAAUUACCUUAUUAAUCUAAGUACAUUAAUUUUAAUAGAUGAUAAAAUCAAUAAACUUAUUAUAUAUUUAUUAAUGAUCCUCUCAAUUAUGAAGCAACCAUAAUCUAGUGAUGGUAUAUUUAAUACUUAUGGAUGAUGUCCAAUUUUUAAAUUAUUCCAUCAUAGAGUAUUAUAAUACAUAAUUACUUAAAUAAAUUGUUUGACAUAUUUUAUCAUAUUUUUUUAUUCUUAUCCUAAAAAGUAAUUUUUAUUGAUAAAAAUAGUUAAAAAAUAUUAAUAAUUAUAUAAGCAACAAUACUUAUAUAAGAACGUGACAUCAAAUACUUUAAUGAUAAUUUUUAUCAAGCAACUCUCAUAAAUAAUCAUAUUGUAGAUAUUCUUAUAUGAAUAGGGAAAAAGCGUAUCAUAAAUCUGAAAUAAAAACUUAGACAUCUAAGACAUGAAUAGUGUUAGAAAUAUAUAAGAAUAUAUUAGAAACUAAUUAUCUUUUUCCCCCAAAAUUGAAAUAUAAGUCAUAUAAUUAACACUUUUUUUUUAAUAUUCUCAUCUUAUCAUAUCAUAUCGAUAUAUCAUAUUGUUCUGUUUGAUAUUUAUCUUUCUCACUCGAUGUCAAAUAUAAAGUUGUUGAGUAUAUAUAUAUAUAUAUAUAUAUAUCACUUCUCUCUUCAAUUUCUUCAAUUCUCAAAGGUGUUGAUAGGACACGAGCUUCCACCAAACAUUACUAAUUCUAAUUGUGCAAGUGCAUUGUUUACCAUGGUUGAUCCCUACCCUACAUUGACCUAUGCUCUGUGGGUAUAUAAAGAUCAGGAACCUGUGCACAUGAUGAUAAUCUCAUUCGCACAGGGAAGGUACCUAUCAUUGUUCAAAUGACUGAGAAAAGUAUAAAAGACAAUAUAGUCAUGGGGAAAUUCUGGUGCCCAGAGUGAAAAAAAAUUAGUACUAUAUAAUAAAAUAUGAGCUAUAUUAUUUAUACAAGAUAUUUAUACAUCACUCGUUUUAUCUCAAGUUUUACUGUAAAAAAUAUUUUCUUAAUACAAAAAUGGUAGUAGAGACGACAUGGACGUGAGAUAGAAAUUGUUAAUGUGUUGAGUUUUUCUCAUGAGAGCAAGUAGGUAGGCUUAUACAAGAUAUAUUAAUUGUAUCUAUUAACCGUAGCAACCAAUAGUCCAUAAAGAUUUUUUUUUACUACUGAUAUAAAAUAUUCAUCAAUCUCAACAAAAAUUAAUUAUCCUUAAUGAAAUUCUUUCCUCCUAAUUAAGUUUUUCCCUAUACAAAACUAAGACCCAAAAUCUUAUUUAAGAUAACGGAAUUUAUUAUCACCCAGAACCAAUAAUUUGUUGAUAUCUUAAAAGAUAUUUUGAUCUCAAAUAAGAAAGUUACACGUUUUAGUAUACACGUGAAACAAUUCAGAUGCCCAUAAAAAACAUCUGCUGUCUUAAAUUGAGUUCACAAAAAUAAAGACCCAAAACUAGAAGUUUUUAAGACCUAGUGAUCUACUACAGUGCACUUGUGUACCAUUGUAUGCUAGACUAUUAUAAAAGUGUGUUUAUUUACAUUUUUUCGCUGCAGUUUUUUUUCAUGGAUCCCAAUCAUGUGAAAUGAAGGGGAUCCAAAUUUCCGCGCUGCUUGCCUUGAAAGAAAAUCAAACAAGCAUAUGUAUGUUAAAGAUUCGAGAUGCAUAAAAAAAAUGUUAAAGAUUCGAGUGCGCAUGCAUUGGCAACGUGGAGUUGCCCGAUUUUGGUAAUAAGUUGUUUUUAAGAAAUAUUUUUUAUUUCUCUCAAAAAAGUAAAAAAUUGAUGAACAAAAACAAGCGAUUAUUUUCCUAAAAUAAAUUGAAUCAAUUACCAAACACAAUACUAUUAAAUAAAAUAAACGUCGGAAUUCUGAGUUUAAAACACGCAAGGGCCAGCAAAGUUUUAAAACAUGAUGUAAUUAAUAAGGUAGGGAUAUGAUAGACUUAUAAGACUUACUGAGAGCUAUAAAGAGUUGGUAAAGAGGCGCAUCAUAUGUAACUAAGUGGAUAUAUUAUACUACUACAACAUACUAAAUUGUAAACAAAGUUGGAGAAAAACACAAGAUAAUAAACACAAUUCUAAUCAACAAUGAGUGAGUGAUAUUAAAUUUGGCCUCCUUAAAUAAUAUUUUAUGUUUAAGUCUUACAAAGAAAAAAAUGAAAUUAAAAUAAAUUUUUUAUUAAAAAUGAUUAAUUAAAUUUUACAACAUAAAUUAAUUCAUCAAUAAAGUUAAUAAAUAUUUUUAUGUUUACGCUAGCUAAUAUUAGGGUAAAAAGAAAAACACAACAAUAAAAAAUGAUUAUUUCAGUUUUAUUUUCAAUGAUUUAUUUAUCACUAUAAAAAUUGCAUAAAUCAGCCUUUUUUCUUAUCUGUUUUAUUUGAUUACAACAUGUUGCAAACACCCCACCUUGGGAUGCAGAUUGCAAAGAGGUCAUGAAGGGAGAAAUAUGAUGUGAAAUGAGUGAAUUUUUUCACGUGGAAGCCGGGUAAUGUAAAAUUGUGGGGUACCUACUGCCUUAGAUUAGGAAGAAAUUAGCUUGGUCCUCCACCUCAAUGGUCCCUCCCUGCCCUUCUUCUUAGUUCCAGGUAGAGGGGUCGUCUUGUGGACUAAAUCACUGACACUGACUCAAAUUUAACUCCAAAGGCAUGCACCACGCUAUUUUGCUGGUCAAACUCGCAUUAAUUGUGUGGACACCCUUGCUCUGAGUAUAGUAACUAUAUAUAUAUAGUGAUAUUUGUAGGUACUUUAUAACAUACGCGUAUUGAAUUGUCUCAAAGAAAAUUAUUAGUGUGUACAGGUUGUAGCAUUAAGAUAAGGAGUAACCCCCUGAGAAGCGGCUUCUGGAUUGAUCUCAUUGGUUGAGAGCAAUCUAUAAUUGCGAAAACAUGCACAUACAAAGAAUGAUAACAGUUCAAUGCCUUGAAUUAGGCUUAUAUCCAAAGAAUGUAUUAAAACAUUAAGACAGAAAAGUACGUAUUGGGUGGGGUUGAUGUGUCUGAUAAUGUAGGACACUGUGUUCGAAUAUGAGUUCAAAGUUGGAUAAUUUUCUUUUAUCCUUUAUUUGACUGAAAAAAAAAGAAAGCCUCCCAACCCAACUAGCAAGUUAUAGGCUGAUUUUAACAAGGAAAUGAGUGGCUCCUAAUUUUUUUGCCUCACUUUAUACUUGCAUAUAGUUUUUAUAUAAUUAGAACAAAAGAAUGAGAAUAUGGCAAAAAAAUCAAGUUGGUUUAAAAUUACUUUCUAUAGUCAUACUGUACCAGAUGCAAUGAAGAGAUGUAUGGCAUAUGUAUGGAUUUAUAUUAAGUUCAGGGUAGGUCCGUAGGUUUUGGCACAAAAACCACUAAUUAUUUCAAAAAAUAUUUUGAACGUCAAUUUUUAACUGAUGUUUGAAACCAAUCAUGUUGAAAGUGAGAAACUUUUAACAUUAAUUUUAAAACUGGUGUCAAAAUAAUAUUUCAUCGAUAUAGAAGGUAUGUAAAAAAAUAUAAAUCUAUCAAACUUAUUGCAUCGGUUAAAACCGAUGUAUAGUAAGUCUACUGUAUAUAUUGAUUAACUAAGUAAAGCAAGGUAUUAAAUCCUAAAAUCUGAGGCCUCUUAACUUUAAAAUCAUAUAACUGGUUAUAUCUAAAACUGUAUACUACUCAGCUAAAUAAUGAGUAAGCGUCUGUUUGGUAGUUAAGUUAGUUUUAUCUUAUUUUAAUUAGUUAUUUGAUUCACUGCUGAUAGAAAUUAAAAGGACUAGUCUAUCCUACUAUUACCUAUCUUAUAUUAAGUCAGUGUAAUAUUUACCUCACGAGGAGAGUUGGGGUUAGGAAUUAGGAAAUAUAGAUACUCAAAACUAUAAAUCAUUAGUUUUCGAUGAAUAUUAUAGUACCUAUUCGAAGAGAUUUUAUUUAUUUAUAUUUAAAAAUAACGAGGCUUGCAGAUCAGAUUCCUAAACAAGAGAUCUAGAGUUUCUUGACAUAUUCUUAACGUGAAUAAUAACAUUGGUCAUCUCUCGAUACCAAGUAACUGAGUGAGUGGAUUGUUUCUAUGUCUUCUGUAUAUAUAAAUGCUGAACCGAUAAUUCAGUAUUGAGAAUAAAUUUUGCAAUAUAAUUUACCCAGUCUAAAAACCUUUCCAAUUGUAUCUUUAUCCGUAAUUUUCAUUGAGAAAAAUUUCAGCAAACUUUAUUGUUCCUCUUGGUUGGGGACUAUGGUUCAUUUAUAGACUUUAUAUGCUAAAAAUCUUACCUUGGUUUAUAAUAAUUAGCUUUUGUUAUAUACAUUUGAAUUUAAAUCAUUGUAAAUAAAUUUAUGAAUUCACUAAUAUACUGGAUGAUAUGUGUCCAAUCUAGAUGUCUUUCAAGAUUUAGUGUACACGUGUCAAUUACAUGAUUUAGAUAACAUUCAUGUGUCGUUAUAUAAUAUUUCGUAAAUAUUUUAUUCAAUUACAUAUUAUAAUUAUCACCUGUGAAUUAAUUGGACAUAAGAUUUUUUUAGCUUAAUUAGAGAUUUUAAGUUUCAAUUUUAAAUAUGUAAUAGAAAAUAUUUGCCUCAAACAAAAUUAUUUCUAAUAGAAAAUAUUUUUAUAUAAAAAAAUAUUCUAAUUACAGUUGGUUGAUUUGUAUAGGUGUUACUUUUGUGUAAAUUAUAUUUAUUUCAUCAAAACCUGUUAUAGGGUAGAUAUAUCUUAUAAUUGUUUCUAUGCCAAAAGGUAUUAUGAUUUUUUGAAUGGAAUUGAUCUCUCAUAAUAAAUAUAUUUUCAUACGCAUAAAUUAAUAAUUAAUUUUUUUAACCACAUGGGAAUAAGAUUAUGUGUCACACCAUCUUGAUAAAAAGAUUUCAUCUUUAAAUUUUGUUUUUGAUUUCACCUAUUUUUUGUUGAUAACUAAUUGACAAUAAUUUCAUUUUUCUAGAUCGUUCACUUUGUUAAUGGAUUUGAAAUGGGUUCUCUAUUUGAGCAACAACUGUUUUUUUUAUGCUCACCACCAGGAAACAUGGAAGCGAAGUUACGAAGAAUGUUGAAAUUCUUCAAGACAUGGGUGGAGGAGUGAUGGUGAGAAAGAGAAAGCCUCAUCGAGCUUGAAAAUGUUAAAGAGGAAAUGAUAUUAGGCGCGAGAAUGUUCGAAGAAAAAGACGUGAGCAAUGGUUAUUAGAAUGUUGUAGAAGAAUUAUUUUUUUAAUGAGAUUAAACAAAAAGACGAGUUGUUAUGUUUUUCUUGUUUUAAAACUAAAAACAGUAUAUAAAAAUAUUUGUUGCUAAACAUUAACUCCUUAAAUCAAUUUGGUACUUUAAGAAAUUAAUCGUUGAACCUCAACUAGGAAUAUUCACAAAAAAUAGUUGUUUAUUUUAAAAAUUACUUAUCACUAAUUAUCUUUAUUAAUGAAGUUUUUUAAUAUUUUAAAAACAAAAAACUAGAAGUAUUUUAUAGAAGAAAAAAACAAACAAGCCCUUAAAUUUCUAUUACUAUUAAAAAAAUAUUAAGUAAAAGGCAUGAAAUCAAAAUGGACUGAUAUUAAUUAUCAUCUAAUUAAUAAUCAUUUCGGAGUCCCAAAUGUCACUAGAGUUAGACUGAUUUUGUUCCUACCCUCUUAGCUUCAUUUGUUUUAAAUAUUGUUAAAUUUAAUUUAAAUAAAACUAAUUUUAAAUUGUUGGAUGUGACUAAGAUAUGUAUUUAAAUUCAUUUUAAUUGAAUUUAAUAGUCAUAACGAUGUAAAUCUAUUUUAUAUUGUUAUCUAAUCACAAAUUAUAACUGAUUUAACUUUUAAGAUAAUUUUUAAAAGUCAACAAAUUUAUCAUAUAUAAUAAGUUUAUAAAUGAAUGAUGAUAUCAAACUAUUUUACAUUAUUAAUAAUAUUUUUUUAUUUUAUUUUAAUUAUAAUUUUUAGAUUUUAAUAUUUAUACAUUAAUAAUAUAAAACACUUUUAAAUUAUCGUUCAAUCACACAUUACUGUUAAUAUGAUUUUUAAAAUAAUUAUUAUAAAAGUUAAUAAACUUAUCGUAUGAUGAAAUAUGAUUGAAUGAAGGCAUAAAACUUUUUAUAUUAGUGUAUAACCCUGUUCUCUGAUAUUUAUAUUAAAAUUUGUGGACAUUAUAAGAAAAUAAUUCCCAAUAUAAUCUUCAUCAAGAGCAUUUUUUGUGGUGUUCCGCAAGUUCCAAUACAUAUUUGUUUAUUGGCAUCGUAAUUGGGUCCAUUCUUAAUUUCCAAGCCCAGCAUUUAAAUCGAUGGAUAGAGAGAGGAUAUAAAACUAUGUGGUCCUCGCUAUCUAAAUCUAACAGCUAGGUGACGUUGGGCUAUGUUGAUAAAAAAGAAAAAAAAAAAAAAAGACCAGAAGGAAAUGCCCUAAUUCAUUUUUUGACUUUUUUUUUUCCUGAGUUACAUCCUCUUUGAUAAUGAUGUUAGUUUUGGCUGGGCUAUCUCUUUUAUUGAAUCCUCUUUGAUACUGAUGUUAGUUUCGGCUGGGCUAUCUCUUUUAUUGAAUAUAAUUGAGCAUUUUAUUGAAUAAAAUGAUUUAAAAUUUCAAUAAAUUGGUGAUUCAAUUGCAUAAACUCAUAGUAUGUGAGGUUAGAGAUCUCAUAUGUGAUUUUCUACAUUUAAUGCAAAGUUAGUAGUUAUAAUUUCUAUAUCCUAGACAUGAUUUCUUAUUUUCUAACGAGUUUCCAGGUCUUUUAAAAAAAAUUAGUUUCCAGAUACUCGUUUAAAUAUUUUAAACGUGAGCUUGAUAUUGACUAAUAACUUAUUUUCUACAUUUACUGCAUAGUUAGUAGUUAUAAUUUCUAUAUCCUAUACAUGAUUUCUUAUUUUCUAAUGAGUUUCCAAAUAAUCAUUUAAAUAUUUUAAACGUGAGUAUGAUAUUAACGAAUGUUUGAUUUGAUUAUUUAUCAACCCACUUUUAUUUCUCACCGUAUUGUUUUAGAGGAUUUCUUAGCUCUCACCUUGUUUAGUUACUUAGAGUGAGUUUAUUUUAAAGUUGGAUAAAAUUAAUUUUGAUAUAAAAAGUAUUUUUUAAUUGUUGAACAUAUUUAAAAUAAUUUUAAUAAUAAAUUUUACAUUUAAACACAGGUUAUGGUAAGAAAAAUUGAUCAUAAAAUAAUAGUCAAAUGUAUGCUUAUUCUGUUAUUCAUGUACUAAUCCUGAUCUAUUUGUGGAUAAGUCAUAUAGCUUUUAUUUGUUAGAAAGUUAGUUAAUUAGUUAGUAGUUUGUUGCUGAAAAAUAGAGUAAGGUGUUGAGUUGUAAUUUUCAGUUUUAUCAUUUCAUUCUUUAACAAUGAUGUAUAAAUACAAUUGAUCAUUCAAUAAGAUUGUUGAAUGAGUUCAUACAUAUCAAGAAAAGUAUAGAUUUGCAUAUCAAAAACUCUCUCUCUCCUACCUCGUACAUUUCUCUCUUUUCCUACAAGUGUGUGUCAAGGAACUCAUAUGUUCUUGACACUAACAGUGGUAUCUAGAGCAAGGUUCGAUCAAGAAGGGAUCUUUAAGCACAACCAUGGCUUCCAAUGACCAUUUUCUAGCAAAUCUCCCAGUUCUCACUGGCAAGAACAUUAGCAGGUGGCAAGUUCAGAUGAAAGCCUUGUUUAGCUUCCAAGAUUUAACCGAUAUUGUUGAGAAUGGUGUAGAAGUUCCAAGAGACAAUGCUCCUAUUGCACAAAAGGUUGGAUUCAAAGAAUUAAAGAAGCAGGAUUGCAAAGCAUUGGUGAUUCUUCAUCAGUGUGUUGAUGAUACCCACUUUGAGAAGAUUGAAGGUGCAACUACUGCGAAAGAAGCCUGGGACAUGUUGAACAAAGCUUAUGCUAGUGCAGAAAAAGUCAAGAAAGUGCGCUUACAAACCUUGAAGAGACAGUUUGAACUACUGCAGAUGGAAGAGAGUGAAGGUAUUGGAGAUUUUUUCGGUAGAUUACAAGUUCUUGCUAAUUCAAUGAAAGGUUGUGGUGAGAAAUUCACUGAUCUAAUGUUGAUUGAAAAAGUAUUAAGAUCAUUGAAUCCAAAAUUCGACCACAUUGUGGUUGCUAUUGAGGAAUCAAAGGAUUUGGAAUCCAUGAGCAUUGAUGAAUUACAAGGUUCCUUCGAAGCCCAUGAGCAAAGAUUGCAAGAAAGGAAUAAUUGUAUUGAAACAACUAUUCAGGCUCAACAAAACCUAAAGAAAUCUGGAAAUGAAUCAUCCAGAGGAAAGGGAGGCAGAUUCAAGAACUCAAGAGGAAGAGGGAACUAUGGAUCAAGAGAGCGCUCAGAUCAGAAAAACAAUGGCAACCAAAGUUCCAAUAGAGGAAGACAUACUGGAAAUCGAAGGAGAGGAGGAAAAAAUGUAGAUGCAAAUGCCUUUGGUGUUUUGAUGAUGAUCAUGAUGAAGAAAAGCAAAUGAUGCAAAUGAUUCAAGAAUACAAGCCACAACAUCAAGAUGAUCACUAGUACAUUAGGAAGGAAAUUCCUAAUUGAUAUAGCAAAAGGUUUGGCCAAGUAAUGCAUGUUAAAAAGUGUUUUUCAAGAGAUUUACUCUCUGGUAAUCAAUUACCAGAGGAUGUAAUCGAUUACCAGUGGCCAAAAAUGCUUUACAACAGCUACUAAAUAUUUGAAUUCAAAUUUUAGACUGUGUAAUCGAUUACACCAUAUUGGUAAUCGAUUACCAGCAGUUAAUAAACGUUUUAAUUCAAAUAUUAAAGCCUGUAAUCGAUUACACAACUAUUGUAAUCGAUUACCAGAGAAGAUUUUCAAAAAAUAACUUUCAAGAGUCACAUCUAUUCAAAUGGUUUAUGAAUGGCCAUCAAAGGUCUAUUUAUAUGUGACUUGGAAACACGAAUUGGGAGAGAGUUUUUGAUUGCCCAAAAAGUUUUAUCCUCUCAAUAGAUUAAGAGAGUUUUUCUAAAUUGAAAUGUCUUAUCCUCUCAAAGAUUCCUUGGUCAAACGCUUGCAUAUUCAAAUAAUGAAUUGUGAUUGAUCUUCAUUGUACAAUCUGUCUCUUUCAAGAGAGAUUUCUUCUUCUUUUCUUUUUACUUCUGAAAAGGGGUUAAGAGACCGAGGGUCUCUUGUUGUAAAGGAUUCCUGAACACAAGGGAAGGGUUGUCCCUGUGUGAUUCAGACUUUGUAAAAGGAUUUUACAAAGAGAGUGGAAAAUCUCAAGUGGGUUGCUUGAGGACUGGACGUAGGCACAGGAAGUGACCGAACCAGUAUAAAUCAAGUUUGCAUUUCUCUCUUCCCAUAAACUUCUUUUAUUUAUUGCUAUUUAUCUUUUGCCUUUAAAGAAGUUUAUUCUGAAUUAUCUUUUGAGUAAUUCAUAUUAAGGGUGCAUUGUUAAUCUAAAGAGAGAGAGCAAAAUUUAAAUUGGGGAAUAGUUCUUGUUAUCUUAAUUCAACCCCCCCUUCUUAAGAUAACUGAGGCCAUUUGUUUAACAAAAAAGACCUGGGACAAGAAGAAUGUAGAUUGUUACAACUGUGGAAAGAAGGGACACUAUGUUGUUGAUUGCUGGUACAAGGAUAAAAAUCCUACUGAUGAGGCUCAACUUGCAGAAGGAGCAGAUUCAGUUUCUAAACCUGUCUUGUUGAUGGUAACAAACAAGACACCUCAUGAUGACAAGGGUCAAUGGUACUUAGACACAGGAUGCUGUACACACAUGACUGGUCACAAAGACUGGUUCAUGUGUCUAGAUGAAAGGAUGAAAAGCAAAGUGAGAUUUACAGAUGACAACACCAUGCUUGAUGAAGGAAUUAGAAAUGCCCUGAUUUAGAGGAAAGAUGGUAGAGAAACUUGCAUUGAGGAUGUACUUUAUGUUCCAGGCAUAAGCAACAAUCUUCUAUGUCUUGGUCAGUUACUUCAGAAAGGCUUUAAGAUAACUAUGGAGGACAUGAUGAUGCUGGUAUAUGACAAAACCAGAAAUCUAAUCAUAAAAACACCAUUGACAAAAAAUAGAACUUUCAAAGUUGGAAUGCAAGCAUUUGAGCACGAAUGUCUUAGUGUUGUAAGUAACAAAGAAGAAUGGCUUUGGCGCUAUAGGCUUGGACACCUGAAUUUCAGAGAUCUUGCUCAAAUGCACAAGUUGGCACAAGGAAUUCCUCAACUACAACAACCACAGGAGAAAUGCAGGGAGUGCUUGGAAUGAAAGCAGACAAAGAAGCCAUUCAAGAAGUUUAUCCCAGUAAAAUCAACUCAGAAGCUUGAAAUCAUCUAUUCAGAUGUUUGUGGCCCUAUACAAGUUGAGUCCCUUGGAGGAAACAAGUGUUUUGUAACCUUUAUAGAUGAUUUCACUAGAAAGACCUAGAUUUAUAUGAUCAAAAGUAAGAUUAAUUUGUUUAAUAUCUUUAAGAAGUACAAAGCUUAUAUUGAAAAUCAAAGUUCUAGGAAGAUUAAAGUGUUGAGAAUUGAUGGAGGUGGUGAAUACACCUCAAGAGAAUUCCUAGAAUUUUGUGAUGAAGCAAGAAUUGUACAUGAGUUCACACCACCCUACACUCCACAACACAAUGGGGCAGCAGAAAGGAAGAAUAGAACAAUUAUGAACAUGGUCAGGAGCAUGCUCAAAUGCAAGGAUCUGCCACAAAACUUGUGGAGUGAAGAUACUUCCACUGUUGUGUAUGUGCUGAAUAGAAGUCCUUCAAAAAGAUUAAAUUGUGUGACUCCAGAAGAAGCAUGGCAGUCAUCAAACCCAAUGUGAAGCAUCUGAGAAUUUUUGGUGCUAUCUGCUACAAACACAUUCCUGACCAAUUGAGACUGAAACUGGAUGACAAAGGUGAACUGAUGGUAUUUCUUGGAUACCAUGAGACAGGAGGCUACAGGCUAUUUGAUCCAAGGACCAAGAAAAUUGCAAUUAGCAGGGGUGAAGAAUUUGAUGAGUUUAAAACUGGAGGUUGGAACCCGAGUCUACAAGUAAGAAUGCAAGAUUCCUGAUUGAAGUAGAUUAUAGUGGUAAUAAUGUUAUUGUAACAUCAGCCACACCUGACCAAGGAAAUCUGAGAAAGUCAACAAGAGUGACACAAGUUCCCUAGAAUUUGAGAGAUUAUGAAGUUUAUAAAGAUGAUUAAAUCAUUAAAGGUGGUGACCUAGUGCAUUUAACCUUAUAUGCUGGUGAUGAGCCAAUAGAUGUAGAGGAAGCAUUGCAAAAACCUCAAUGGAUUCAAGCAAUGAAGGAGGAAUUGAGCUCAAUUAAGAAGAACAACACAUGGGAUCUUGUGAAUCUCCCAAAAGGGAAAAGACCUAUUGCAGUUAAGUGGGUCUUUAAAGUGAAGAAGAAUCCCAAAGGAGAGGUGGUUAAUCAUAAGACAAAACUAGUAGCAAAGGGUUUCCUGCAAAGAGAAGGUGUGGACUAUGGUGAAAUUUUUGCUCCAGCAGCAAGGAUUGAGACAAUAAGACUAGUAGUUGCACUUGCAAGUCUAAGAAGGUGGUCAAUGCAUCAAUUGGAUGUCAAGUCUAUUUUUCUAAAUGGUCCUCUUAAAGAUGUGUUUGUUGAUCAGCCUCCAGGUUUUCAAGUUGAUGGCCAGGAGGACAAAGUGUACAAAUUAAAAAAAGGCCAUGUAUGGCUUAAAACAAGCUCCAAGAGCUUGGAACAAGAAGAUUGAUGGUGUGCUCAACCAGAUUGGGUUUGAGAAAUGUAUUUUUGAACAUGGUGUCUAUAUUAAAGGAGAGACUACUACAGAUUUAAUUCUAGUGUGCCUCUAUGUGGAUGAUCUAUUGAUCACUGGGAGCAACAUGUCAGAAAUCAACAAAGUCAAGCAGCUGUUGAUGAAGCAAUUUGAAAUGAUUAACCUGGGCUAACUAUCCUAUUUCCUUGUCAUUGAAUUCAAGGAAAUUGAAGCAGGUGUGGUGAUGCAUCAAAGUAAAUACGCAACUGAUUUGCUUGUGAAGUUUCAGAUGAACAAUUGCAAUCCAGUUGCAACUCUAGCUGAAACUGAACUAUUGAUGAGCUUGAAUGAUGAAGGAGAACUAGCAAAUGCUACCUUGUACAGACAAAUAGUUAGCUCACUCAGGUAUUUGUGUAAUAUAAGACCUGACAUAGCUUACAAUGUUGGCACUAUAAGCAGGUUUAUGAAGGCACCUAAGAUUUCUCACAUGAUGGCUACAUAAGGAUCUUAAGGUAUGUGAAUGGCACAACUGAUUAUGGAGUGUUGCUACCUUUUGGACAGAAUGAAUCAAAUCAAGAUUUGCUUGGAUAUACUGACUCAGAUUGGAGGAGGGACAAGGAUGACAGGAAGAGCACUGCAGCCUAUGUGUUCAUGUAUGGUGGAGCUCUAAUCUCCUAGAGCUCGAAGAAAGAAGAUCCAAUAACAUUAUCUACUUGUGAAGCUGAGUAUAUAGCAGCUUCCCUUGGAAAAUGUCAAGGUCUGUGGUUGAGAAAAAUGUUGAAAGAAAUGAAGAUUAAAAAAAAAGGAACCAGUUUUCCUGCUGAUUGAUAAUAAGUUAGUAAUCAAUCUUGCUAAGAACCCAGUAGAUCAUGGGAACAACAAGCACAUUGAAACUAGGUAUCAUUUUAUCAGGGACAAAGUUAACAAAGGAAAGAUCAAGCUCAUCUACUGUAAAUAAAAAGAUAAUCUUGCUGAUUUACUGACAAAACCAUUGAAGAAAGCCAAGUUUGAAGAAUUGAGAAGUAAAUUUAUGAUUAAAGCUAAUUGAGGAUCAAAAUUAAAGGAUGGUGUUGUGGAUUAUUCAGAUAGCUUUCAUUUGUUUAGAAAGUUAGUUACUUAGUUAGUAGUUUGUUGUUGAAAAAUAGAGUAAGGUGUUGAGUUGUAAUUUUCAAUUUUAUCAUUUCAGUCUUUAACAAUGAUGUAUAAAUACAAUUGAUCAUUCAAUAAGAUUGUUGAAUGAGUUCAUACAUAUCAAGAAAAGUAUAGAUUUGCAGAUCAAAAACUCUCUCUCUCCUACCUCAUACAUUUCUCUCUUUUCCUACAAGUGUGUGUCAAGGAACUCAUAUGUUCUUGACACUAACAAUUCAUCAGUUAGCUUUACAUUCAGUUUUUAUUUGAUUUAAUUAAUUAUUAAAACUACAUUAUCUUUAGGUAGUCCUUGUAUUUCAAUGCAAUUAAUUGAAGUUUAGUAACCACUCCUUGUCAUUUUAUGUAAAAUGCAAUUCUACGUUUUUUUUUUGCAGAUUAUGGUUGUCAUCAAUGCCAUGGAGAUUGCUUAUUCUAAUAAUUGAUCUCACUUGUGGUUGGAAACUGAUUCUAGCUUACUGGUUAAAGCUGCGAAUGAUCCUCAGUUGAUUUCUUGGCCUCUACAUAAUUGAUGGUUAAACUGUUUUAUCUCUAUCUGCUAGAAAUUUUAGAAUUUCUCAUAUUUACUGAAUUGUCGUGAAGAUAACACUGCGGACAUAUUAGCCGCUUUUGGUGCACAUAAUUUUGGGUAUAUUUGGUGGGAUUCGCCACCUUCUUUCAUUUUUUGGGAUCUUCUUAGGUAUAGACAUAGAUUACCUGUUAGGAUAAAUAUAUAUGUUUAUGAUUUAAUUCAUCAUGUUAUCAAUUUUAGUAAAAAAAUUAUUCUUUAUUUUAUUAUUUUAUUAAAUUGUUAAUUUGACAAAUCUUUGAUUAAAAUUAGAGACAUGUUAUUAUGAUAGAGAUUAUAUAAUGAGAAACAAGUGAUUUGUAAUUUUAAUUUAAAUUGUUCUUGAUCGUAGGAUUAUUGUGAAUAAGAUAUCAAUAAUCUAGAUAGAUUAAUAUACAUGUAAUGGUCUUUAUUAGAUAAAGAUUAAUAAAUCUCAUUUACUAAGUUGCAUGUACGAAUGAUGUAUACAUGGAUGUCCUCAUUAAACUGACUCAAUUGAGAAUGAUUAAUUGUUAAUAUUACCUUAAGUUAUCAAUAGGAAGUUCUCAAGAAAAAAUAUAAUAGUUUUCUUUGAUAUGAGAUUAUCAUAGUAAUUAAUAAGUUAUUAAUUAUAUUUUAAUUUUGAACACCUAAUGUAUUAGGGCACUAGUUGAAUGAAUAUUGGAUAUAAUUAAAUACUUGUAAAAUUAAUGAUUAAUAAUGAAGGAAUCCAUCAACUCUAAGUAAUGAGUUUGAGCUCUACGAUGAAAUUAAGACCUUGAUCAGGACAAUUGAAUGAAAGAAUAAAAGAGUUUCUUAAGUCAUUCAUUGAUUAAAUAUAAUGUGUUAACUGAUUAGAAUUUGACAUUAAUACUAUACUCUAGAAUUAACCUUAAGUUGUAAAUAAUGAAAGUAAAUAUUACAUUAUUUUUCUAUUAGUUCUUGAAAGUAAAAAAAAGUUAUUUCAUGUUAUCUGGAUGUUGAUGAGUGUUGCUAGACGCCUACCUUGAUUAGUAAAUUAAUUAUGAUUAUUUUAUUAUCAGUUUGAUAUUGAACCAACGGGGUCACACACAAAUGAGCGUUUCAAUCUUUGCAAAAAAAAAAAAAUACUUUAUUUGAUAAAGUUGUCCAUAAAAUAAAAAUAAAAAUAAGAUUCUAUUGCUAUAUAUUAGGAUCAGAUCAUGUGAUUAAUUAUCAUAAUUAGUCAUGUGAUUAUUUAAGAAAUUUCUUUGCCUUAUACUAGGAAGCUUCUUAAGAUAAAAAGAUAUGAGAUAGUUUUUAUUGAUAGCAGAUACUGGUCUCGAUGUGGAUGUGUUUUCACACUAUUGAAGAAACUUUUUGUUAAUUCAAGAACGCGCGUUCAUGUACACAUAUAUUUUUCUCUAUUUAAUAUUUUUGAAUGCAAAAUACAUUGUUUUUGCACUAGCUAGGUCUCAAACUAGCUACCUACAACUUAGUUAACGUUGCAUGAGCAACUGAACCAUUCAAGGUUCUUUGAUAUUUUUUCCCUAUAUCGUAUAUGUUUAUGAUUUUUUGUUCAAUUUUGCAAUUUGUGCAAUUUUGAUUUAUCUUAUGCAUGAAUCUAUUCUUCGAUAUUUUUUUCCCUAUAUCUUAUAUGUUUAUGCUUUUCUGUUUACUUUUGCAAUUUGUGCAAUUUUAAUUUAUCUUAUGCAUGAAUAUAUUCUGGAAAAGUUUAUUAUGUGCAUAUAUGUGUGUGUGAAAUUAAAUGCAUAAUGUUAUGUUUCAAUUAUGCAAUUAUAUAUGAGAAUUUUAUUCAUCAUUGUAUUAUAUCUUGAUCUUGAAGUGCAUAAUAUUAUUUAUUUUCAUAUGAUUAAGUUUUAUGUCUAAGUGAUCUUUAUAAUUUUGAUUAAUUAUGGAUUAGCCACAACAUCUAUAAUUUGAUUAAAAUUAUAUAUUAAGUCGUUUAAAGAUCAUAUAAGGAAUUACACAUAAUAUUGUGAUUAAUUGUACUUUAUAUAAUGAAUUUUAUCCCAUAGGAAUUUUUAUUAUAUUUGUUUAAUUAAUUAGGAAAAAUUGUCAUAUUAUUUUUCAUGGUUUACCCACAAGGAUCAUGAGGUGAUGCAUAAUUUGACAGAAUGACAGUUUUAUCAUAAAGUAAAUAUUUGCGAUAGAAAAUCAAAUUAUUUUCAUGUUGUACCCAUAAAGCAUGAAUUUGAGUAUGUAAUUUGAUUAUUCUAUCAUAAAGUUUAAUUAUAUCUUAUUGAAUAAAAGAUUUAGCCCACAGACAAGUUUUAUGUCACAAGAUUCAUUUUUUUGGUAUGUUUACAUUGGUAAAAUAUACAAUUAAGAUUAAUAUGUCUCAAAUUUUGACAUAAGCCUUUGGAUUUAUGUAGCUCCUCAAAUUAUUAGUUUUUCUGAUAUUCAAUAUGAUGUUCCUGAACUCAAAGGAGAUAACUAUAAGAUAUGGAAUGAGAGAAUUCUUCUAUAAUUGGGGUGGGUGGAUGGACAUAGACUAUGCUAUAAGGAAAGACGAACCACUUGCAAUCAUUGAUGAAAGUAACCUAGCUGCUGUUACGCUAUAUGAGCGGUGGGAGUGAUCCAACCAACUCAACGUGAUGUUCAUUAAAAUCAAAAUCUCGGCUGGGAUACAUAGUUCUAUCGCCCAACAUGAAAAAAUCCGAGACUUGCUUAAAGCUAUUGAUGACCAGUUCAUCACUUCAUAUAAGGCUUUAGCAAGCACCCUGGUCAUGAAGUUCUCCUCUCUCCGACUCACCAGUGUGAAAGGUGUGCGUGAGUACAUAAUGCAAAUGCAAGAUAUUUCAUCUCAACUUAAGAAACUAGAGAUUGAUAUGUCUGAGUCCUUCUUGGUGCACUUCAUUCUAAACACCCUUCCACUAGAAUAUGGGUCAUUUAAGAUUUCCUACAACACACGUAAGGACAAAUGGUCUAUCAAUGAAUUAAUGACCAUGUGUGUUUAGGAAGAAGAAAGGCUUGUAAUGGAGAUGAGUGAGAGUGCAUUGCUGACAACUGCUUGUGGGAGGAGUGUUGAUUCUGAAAAUCAACAUCGAGGUACAUUUCCAUGAUGGCUGGUGGAGCUAUUUCAUGGAGGAGUACUAAGCAGACUUUAGCUGUUAUUUCUACCAUGGAAGCUGAGUUUGUCUCUUGCUUUGAGGCUAUGUCACAUGGUGUAUGACUUAAGAGUUUUAUUUCUGAGCUAAAGAUAGUUGAUACUAUUUCAUGGCCUUUGAGAAUUUUUUACGAUAAUUCAGUUGUUGUCUUUAUGGCUAAGAAUAACAAAAGUGGAAGUCGAAGUAAGCACAUCGACAUUAAGUACUUAGCCAUUAGAGAAAGAGUAAAAGACAAGAAAGUGGUUAUUGAGCAUAUGAGCACUGAGUUGACGAUCGUUGAUCCUUUGACGAAGGGCAUGCCACCGUUUAAAUUCAAGGAUCAUGGAGAGAGAAUGAGACUUGGUUCCACUUUAUGAUUGUAUACAUACAAGUUAGAGUUGGAACUUUUAUAUUGUGAUAUUUUCUCAUAUUCAGGUGCAUAUUGAUUUAUUUGAGAAAAAUUUUGUUUUGGACCAAGAAUAAACAUUGAGUUUAUUCAUUAAGUUUUAUUACCACAUUGAGUAUAUUACUUGAGAAAUUGAACAUUUUGUAAUACAUGAAUGAUAUUACUUGUUGUAAGAGGAUUUAUCGCUAUGAUUUGUAUGUUCAUUUCUUAAGAAGAUUGAGCAUUGACUUAUUUUAAUUAAUGAGUCAAAAGUUUAGAUCAAGUGGGAGAAUGUAAUAAUUUUGUUAAGAUUGGUUUGUAUGUUUUGGAAGGUCAAGUGCUCCAUCAAUUUUGGAGUUGAAAAGUCAAAUAUUAAAUGACUACUAAUGGUGGUAAUGACUACUAAUGGGUGGUAAUGACUAUUAAUUGAUGAUAACGACUACUAAAUGCACCCUUGCACCCUUGAUAGUAGAAUACCUAUAUAUAGUACAUGUGUUUGGUCCCCCCGAGCUUGCAUCUUCUUCUAUUUUCGUCUGAUACACCAUCUAUAGGGAGUUUGAAAGAACCAAAAUAAACUAACUCUUUCAUGACAAUGACUGAAUGUAUAUUUUAAUUUUAUUUUCCACAUUUGUUAAUGACCCUUGUUUUGUUUUGUUAUUUGUAAUAUCACAUAUUUGAUAUUUUAGUCUUAUAGUGACAUUAUACAACAAAAUAUAAAAUAUUAUUAAAAAAUAAAAGAAUUUUUUUGAUGAGUUUAUUGGUUGGAGAUGAUCUCAUUUUCAUUUUUUACAUUUUAUGUGAUUGUUACUCAUCUCUACUGACUAUAGUCUAAAUAUGUAAAAAUAUUUAUUUAUUAUUUAUAGUAAUCUUAUACUACUUGAGAAAGAAGAUUUCUCCAAGAAGAUAAAGAUAUAUGAUGGCGGCUUUACAUCAAAUAACUUCAGUGCAAGCUGACUUUACAUCAUAACAAAUUUUUCAAUUAAUUUAAUUUAAUUUUUUUUGUCCAUCAAAAUCUGUUCUAUAAAUCCUAAAAUAACAUUCCAUUUAGAAUGGCGGCUAGGCUUAGUUAAGCCAAGACACAAGCCAGGCCCAUCCACAAAUCUUUUCGAUUUCGUAUUCGUGUUAUCCACUAAUUUUUCUUGGCUUAUGAUGGGAUCGAAUAGAAAGGGAAAGCAAAACCUAUUUACUUUGUGACAGGUAACCAUUGCUUCUUAACGGUGACUGUUGCAAGGGACCACCAUAUAUUUGAGUAUAAUGAGUAUAUUUCCAUAACACAAUCAUAUGAACGAAAUUGGAGACAGUUGCAUGUAUUUGGCUGCAUUCGCGUUUGAAAUUAAUGCACACAUUUAAAAGCAGUUCUUUUUGUUGUUAAAUUCAAACCGUGCCAUCAGUCUAAUUGUGACUUGUAACCGAUCGGGGUACCAUAAAUUUUGCGAAUAGAAUAAUUUAAAAUUAUUUUUCAUUCUGGUUCAAUAUUGGUACUAAGAAUAAAGACCAUUAAUCUAUUCUUUCAAAAUUAUUGGAUAUAAGUUUUUUUCUCAGCUAGCUUUUAAUGUGAUAUUCAUGUGGGGAGUGUUGAAUUUUCUGGAUCAGCCGGCUAUGAGCAGGUUUAUUGUAAGUAUUAUUGAUGGCAACUAAUAACAUAUAAUUUAAUUCUUUUUGGUGAAGUAGUACUAGUACAGUGUAGAAAUCCAGAUUAUAAUUUUUUAUUGUACAUCAUAUAGGUCAUAGAUGUGUAUUUAAUAUGUGGGCCUAUAUAUAUUAUUUAUAGUGUACUAUAAAUUAUUUGUAAAGAAUUAUCCUUUUGGAAGUGGUUUUAUAUAUAAAGAUUAAUUUAUUGAGAUGGAUGACAUCUAAUUUAAUAUAGAUUUUGAAAUGUGCAAAUACUAAAUAUUUUAUUUAUAUUUUUUAUGAUAGACCAAAAUAUAUAAAAAUAAAGAAACUUCAGAAGUUUUUUUUUUCAUGAAAACUUUAGAAGUUAUUACUCUUUAUGAACAAGUAUAAAGUUUAAAAAGUCAUUAAUUAGAUUAAUAAUUAUAUACUGGUCAUUAAAAAAAUAAUUAUAUACUAAGUUUUAUACUGUGCCAAUCAAUUAUAAAUUGGUAGAACUUCUAACAUAAUUAUUAUAAAUGUUAGCAAAUAUGGGUAAUUAAUUAAGUUGAAACCUAACUUGAUGCAACAGUUGGAUAUUUGUGAAUUCAAACAUUGGAUAUUUAUCAAAGAGAAGUAUCUUCUACACAUUCAUGAUAUUUUCUUCGAUAGAAUUUGACUUUUGUGCUUCAUGAGAUGGGCUCUUCUUCAGUGCCCACUGCCAAAUAUCCUCAUUUUAACUACACUUUGACUUGUCCUGCCAGCCAGUCAUAAUUGAGUUGAGCUGAGUUAGUUUGUUCAAGAGACGUGAGCUAACAAAUGUAGCUAGAAAAAAAAAACUUGUAAUAUACAUUAGAAAUAGUAUGUAAUAAUGUAAUAUCUUAAAAAUUAAAAUUAAAAAUAAAAUAUAAUACGAGAAAUUAUCUGUCAUCAUGCAAUUAGUUAUAGGAAAAUUUCAUGAAAUUGUCUGUAAUAUAUUUUUUUUCAAAAUCUUAUUGGAUUCAUAUUAAUAUUUUAAUCAUUACUUGAUUUCAGUAAUUAUUUAAAUAUAGUAAAAAUUAUUUAAAUGUGAUCUUAACUGCAUGUACACAUGUUAGAAACCAAAAUGACAAUAAAUUAUAUAUAUUAAGUUUAGUGAAGUAGAUAAAAAUAACUAAAAAUCUUAACGAUUAAUUUAUUUAAUUUUUUUUAAUUUUAGAGACUAAUAUAAAAACGCAUCACACUCUCCAUAACUAAAAUGAUGAUAUACUCAGUUUAAUUUUAGCUAUGAAUCAAGCAUUUCAAACUUCAAAGGUUACCCGAACUUGAGACAAAUCGAUUAGACUCAUUCAUGGUACGAUAUUAUAUAUUUUACAUAAAUUUCUUUACAAGUAAUCCAUUUGAAAAUAGGUAGGACAACAACACAAUUACCCAAUCCAAGACCAAGGCAAAUAAAGGUUUCCAGAAACAAGUUUUUAUAUGCUUUAAUCUCUAUUUUUUCUUUUCUUGGAUUAUAUUAACUUUACCCGAUAAUCAUUGAAGUUGAACUAUUAACUUUUGUGGACGAAGACUAACCAAGAUUGGCUAUGCCUAUUAGAGUGGUAUUUGGUGUACUUUCUCUUUCUGCAAUCGCACACGUUUAACGAAACUGAAAAUUUCACGCAUAAAAGACAUUAAAAAAGAGAGGUUAAUUAAGCCCAAUUUAAUUACUAUUAAAUCAUGUAACUCCGUAUUGUGGUUAGUUAUAGACUUAUAGUUCCUUCCAACACAAGUAGUAGAUUCAUUUUAGAUUUGCGUAAUUUCAUGCUAUUGGUUCACCUAAUUGACUUUAUUUUCUUUUUAGACUAUAGCCUUUUUUUUUUUUUUACAGAUCUUUAGACUAUAACCUAUUCCAUAGGUUUAGGUCGUAAUCAAAAGUGUGAAACAAUAUGAACACUUUCAACCAGGAAUCUGGAAAGUUAACUCGAUUAUUCCUGUGUGUGACCGCAGCCUUGUGCUUUGAUAAAUUACUCUUCACGAAAUGAAGGUGAUUUUUUUUAGUAAUUUUAAAAUAUUUAUAAAAAAUUAACGUGUGACACUAAAAUUGAAUUUAUAUAAUUAAAUUUUACUUUUUGACCAAUAUGUAGUACCUUUUCUUUUUUCUUUUGUUACGACAAAAGUUGGGUUAUACCGAUAAUAGUAGUCAAUAUUUUCAUGUUAUACUGCAGGUACACGGAAAUGCAGGUCAAAUAUUAAAAUAUUUAAUUGUAAAAAUUUACGAGAAUAUUAAUUUAAUUAAUACAUAUUUUGUAUAAAAAUAUAAAGUGUACGCUUAAAUUCUUUAAUUUAAAAAAUUUAGAAUUUAUUUAAUGGAUAACAAAUGUUUUGUUUGUAAUUUAUACAUAUCUCAUCAAUGUCAAUCUAAGAAAUUUUAGCAUUAAUCAAAUAAAUUAAUUAAAAAAAUAAAUAUAUUUUUUAAUUGAAAAUGAAAUUUGGCCUAAAAACUUAUAUAAGAUGUGUGAGAACACAGAUUGACAUGUGAUUAUAUAUAUAAAAAGCGGUAUAAUGUGUUUUUGUUGUUGAUGUUUUUCACUUUUAGUUUCCAAGAGAAGUUUGAUUGGUUUUUUAGUAUUAAGUAAUAACAUGACAUUUACAUUGAUACUCGUAUGAAUUGUAGUAUGACAUAUAAGGAUAAAAAAAGUUAAAUCAUUUGACAGUUAUUAUAAUCUAACCUAUGUCAUGCUCAAGUCAAGUCACACUUUUUUAAAAAAAUAAAAUAAAUCAGCUGAAUAUUUUUAUUAAUGUUUAUUUAAAUUAAAAAGUAAGAUUCAUCAGUAAAAAAGUCUUUUAAGUCUAACAAAUCAACCUAUUCAAAUAAAUAUAAAUAAAUAUUUGUUGUUAGUAUUAUUAUACCAAAUUUUUUAUUAGGAUAAAAAAUAUUAAAUUUGUUACAAUGUAUUAAAAUUUUAUAUUUACUCACCUUUUUAAAUGUUAAAGCAUGUUGAAUUACAUAAAAUUCAAACUUAAGCUUAUAUUAUAUUGAAAGAAAAUUUUAUUUCCUAUACAUAUAUGCCUUAUUAUAAAAUAUAUUUUUAAAUUAGUUAUAAUGAAUGACAAAAUUUUAAAAUAUGCCUAUAUUGUAUAAACAAAUUAAACUCAAUUCUUAUAAAAGUUAACAUACCUAUUUUUUUUUAUCUCUAUUAUAAUGUUAAAUUAUCACAAACUACAACUUUAAAACAAAUUUAUAGGUCAGAUUAAACUUUUAUAUAAGUCAAUUAGGUCUUUAAAAAAAUGCCUAUAUCAAGUAAACAAGUUAUAAGACCGAGAGCCAUAUAUUUUUAAGUAAAAUUAACCUCAGGCCUAACAAAAUUUAUAAUGUGUGUGGAUUGAUAGGAUAAAACUAUAAUGAGUGUAAAAUCAUACUAAGUUCAUUAUAAAACCAAUUAUUAAUUGCUUCUAAAAUCAGUGAGUAUAACUCAACCAAUUCAAACACACAUUUAUACUGUUUUAUUCAAUUUAUACCUCUAUUAGUCUAAUUUUACCCCUAUUAGCAUGACAAUGAUUUUAAACUAUUUCAUGCUAAAAGUCACUAUAAUAUUUCUUGCAAAACUGUUAGAUGCUAUUAUUUGAAUUAUUCUAUACUUAGUAAUUAAUUUUUACAUAACUUAUAUUAUUAUUUUACAUUAUAAUUUAUUUUUAUUACAUGUUCACAUAAUUGCUGUAUUAAUCAGUUAAUUAAUAAAUUAAUAUUUUACCCAAAAUAAAUCAUGUUAUUAUUUUUUUUAUUUUUGGUUAUCAGAAUAUUUACAACAACUUUCAAUCAACUAAAUUAAAUCCUCUUGACUCAUAUUAUUAUUAUUUAAAUAGUAAUAAUAAUUUCUCCCUCCCUCUCUUUCACUCUCCAGCACGGUGGUAGUUGGACGUUAUUCAAAUUGGCCCACCUAUUUGAGAGCUUCUUUAUUUUGUUUUUUACUUCUACCAUUUUUUUUAAUGCAUUUUUUGGUUCAAACCCAGAGUUUCUGAAAGAGAUGGAAUUCCAACAUCAUCAACACCUACAUUUUGUGCUGCAUUUUAUUGUGGCGACCUGGUCAAUUGGUCACACAGACAAGACAAGACAACACCCUCUGCUGUUUCAUUUUCACGUUGGUACUUAACCUGUGUCACACACCCAUGUGCUACUUUCUGAUUUGUUCUUAGUCUUUGUUUCAAAGUUUGAGCCUUUUUGCAUUUUGGCUUCAGGUUUACUUCUCUUUCUCAGGUAUUAUUCUCUAGUUUCAAAGGGUCGUUUCUGAAUUUGGUUUCUGCUUUAGUUUAAUAUAGCUGCUGGGAUUGUUUUUGGACUUGAGAGUUAGAGAUGCAUGCAUGAGGUUGUUUUUGGAUUCAUUUCAAUGAAUGUUUCUUUUUGUUUUUAUGAUAGGCAAAUGUUAGUUUGUUAGAAUGUUAGUUUUUGUUUGCAGAAGUGAUCAAAUCCAUGACCUUUCUCUUUCUCUCCUUCUCCCUUAACCAUCCAAUCCACCUUAUAUCUCCAUGAAUGUUUCUUACUUGGAAUGAGAUAAUAUUAUCAGCAUGAUUUCAGCACAAAUAUGCCUUGAUUGCCUGCAUCAUCGUGAAGCAAAUUUGUAGGAAUCUGUUUGGACUUAGGAGCUGAUUGACAAGAAUCUUUUUGUAUAUAUCAAUGAAGGGUAGAGAUUUCUCUCGAGUUUUCACAACUUGGUUUUUGUUGUUAUCAGGGAGUGAAAAGUACACCGCUUAGUUCAUGAGAGAUAUUUGAGUGUUCUAGUGAUUUUUUGCAUUCCUGGGAUGCAUCUUUCAAAGAGUUUCAAGCAUGGAGUUGUUUUCCUCUUGUGGUUCUGCUGCUAUUUGCUGCAUGCUGCUGGGCAGAAUAACAUCACUGAUCCCGUUGAAGGUAUGUUUUUCUCCUUUUUUUUUGGUAUUCCCUUAUUGCUUGGCUUCUAUUAGGCAUGUACUCAAUAUUAAAAACCAUUUGUGUAUCAACUUAAGUUUUUGGUUAGUUGGUUCAUGACAUGAUAUAAGAGUCUCUAUAACUAAAUUGUUUAGUUUAGAGUUUGAUUCUUGUCUUCCCUAUUCCUCUAAGUACAAUAGAAUUAAAAGGUUGAAUUUAAGCAUAGGGUAGGUGGACUUGUGCAUUAACCAUGCUUUAAGCUCAAAGAACCCUUGUGUGAUGGGCAAGUUAGGGAUGUACUAUUUAAAGACAUUCAUUUCACCCAUCGACUUAAGCUUUUGAGAUACUUGGUUCAUAUUGCUAGCUUCUCUUUAUGGUAUACACGCGUUUGUGGAAGUGGUAGCUCUUCUCUUGGGGAGCACUUUCUUUAAUAUGCCAUGGCAUAUAUUAAUAAAAGUUUCCAGCAUAUUAAUAAUUUCUCCGUGUAUAAUUAUCAUCUAAAAGAUCACUAGUAAAAUUACUAAAAGUACAAAAUCUGCAGAUACAAUAUUCAUGUGUCCCUUACAAGUUACAACAAUAAUAUCCAUUAUCCAGAUUUAUUACAAAAUUUGAGAAAUGAAAAUAGAGAACCCAUUGCUACAAUAAAAGGAAAAAAAAAAUGGGCACAAGCUGUAAACUAUUGCUUAUAAUGUGUAUUGUUUUUUUUUUAUCCGCAAAAAUAAUAUUAUAUAUUAGAUGAGUUUCAGUACAAGACUGUGAUUUUUACAAUCACCAAUGAAGUCUCCCAUGUGGAGGUUUGGUUCUCUAAUGAUGAUAUGAUGUUCUUCUCAUUUGAAUUAACAUGCAGUUGACGCAUUGAGAGCCAUUAAGAGGCGUUUGAUUGAUCCUAAUGGAAAUUUGAGCAAUUGGGAAGAUAGAGACCCGUGUACAUCAAGGUGGAAAGGAGUUUUGUGCUUCAAUGAAACAAAAGAGGAUGGCUAUCUGCAUGUUGAAGAAUUGUAUGAAUUCUAUCUUCUACUCCACAUUUCUAUUUCAUAAAUGACAUAAUAACAUUUUCAGGCUUCCAUUUCCUUUGUCUAUCUUUUAUUAAUCUCUUCUUUUAUGUUGCAAAUAGAUUAACAGUCUUAUGUUGUGGGUCAAGCACUUCCUUGCUCGAUAGUUUAUGCUCAGUAUAGUAGAAAUAAAUAUAAUCACCUAAGCAGGAUGAGAAUUGUGGGCCAAGUGUACUUCUUUAUGAUGAUCUUUUCAGCAUAAUUUGAUGAGUUUACAUGUCUUGAUCAAUCUAGUUCAUCAAUUGCCUUUAAUUCAAUGCUAUACUAUUUAAUGCAGAGCUAUCAAUCUCUGUUUGAGAAUUGAGAGCUUUCUUUUUUCACUGCUACUCCCUUAUUAAGUUUGUUUUUUUUCUUGUCUGUAGGCAAUUACUGAGAUUGAACUUGUUCGGAACUUUGGCACCAGAUCUUGGCAAAUUAACUUAUAUGAAAAGAUUGUAAGACAGUAUUUGCUUUGAUUUUAGAAAUGGCAAAUAUUCUGAACAAUUUUCAGUUUAGCAUUAUUAGAUGCCAUUUUCGCUUGUGUAGUAGAUUUCACUCAUUUGAGUGUUUUCUCCCUUUUGCAACUUUUAAUUACCUUCUUCCUCUGAUCCAUGCUUUCUAAAGGAACUUUAUGUGGAACAACAUAAGUGGGAGUAUUCCAAAGGAAGUUGGCAAUAUCACAUCUUUGGAACUCUUGUAAGUUGAGCCUUCCUGUUAGGCAUGUAUGUUAGUCUUCAUAUGAUUAAAUACGUCAGUUGUUAUUACCUUGGUAUAUUUUUUUUAAAACCAUUUUUAGACUUAUUAAUGCACAAACAUCCUUGUCAUUGCUAUAAUUCAGAAUUGAUCUUAUAAAUAAUUGAAUUAAACACUGUUUCCUAUAGGGUAGAAAGAUAAAUUUAAAUGGUUCUACAAGUAAAAGAGUGGUGAUUUAACAAGAAGAGUUACAUCAUCUCUGCAUUCUUUCUCAUCAAAUAUAUUUUUUCACAGGCUUCUGAAUGGAAAUAACUUAACAGGAUCACUACCAGAGGAGAUUGGCUAUCUUCCAAACCUGGAUAGAAUACAAAUUGAUCAGAACCAAAUAUCCGGACCUAUACCUACGUCAUUUGCAAACCUGAACAAGACAAAGCACUUGUAAGGUUCUUAACAAUGAAAAAGUAGUUAAAGAAUGACCACUCUUGUUCUUUUUACACGAACUCUUUUAUUUCUCAACAUUUUUGUUAUGACCAAAAAAAUGGAAAGAAAAUAAUGUUUAUCUUUUUCACCUCCAAUGGAGCAGCCACAUGAACAAUAAUUCACUUAGUGGACAAAUCCCACCGGAGCUUUCCCGAUUACCAAAGCUUGUUCACCUGUAAGUUGGUUAUUAGUAAUCAUUGACAUAACUGCAGCUACUAACAUAUUUUCAGUGUUUUUUUAAUCCUUAAUUAUCAUGCCUAUAUCUUGUUCACAAGAUGCAUCUCUGGCCCUGCAGUCUUCUCGACAACAACAACUUAUCUGGAUAUCUUCCCCGUGAGCUGGCUGAUAUGCCAAGCUUACUUAUCAUGUAGGUUUCCUAUUCUUUAUGUAAUAUAUGAGUGUCAGCGCAUAUAGUUUUAUUUUAUUUUGGAUGAAAAAACACAUAGAGCUAGUUUGGAGAGACAUCUCAACAAGAACUUGCAGGAGUGGUGAAAAUAAAAUGAAUAAUUUUUUUAUGGUGUUCUGCUUAGUACUACCUCUGCCCCUAAAUGUAAGACCCAUUUAACUAAUUCACAAUUAUCAAGAAAGUUAGUUGAUUUAGUUAGUAGCAUUAAAUUUGUUAACAAUUUGUAAUAUUUUUUUUUUAAAUUACUCUUAAAAUUAUUGGACCCCUAAUUAAUUAAUGUGUACUAGACUGCUAGUCAUCUUUUUCAAUCUUCAUAGACACAUAGAAGGAAAUAAGGAUUUAUCUAACUUCGAAUAUAUGAAUAUAUCUCAGAAUAAUUUAGAGUAUCUUAGAUUAUCUUUAGGAUUGAUUUCCUCGUUUAAUUAAGAUUAGAUAAGGUUUAGUACUUUAUGUUUUGCAUGCUGUGACACAUAUAGCACACCAUAUUAAGUUAAUAUCAAUUUUGGAGUGUUUAGUCUCUACUCUCUACUUUUGCUCUCUAUACACGUAAAACCCCUAUAACUUCAACAACAAUUGUGUUACUAUAUGUUUAGAAUAUAUACUGAUCGGAGAAGUUGCAAAGCUAUGGAUUUUCCUUCAAUGCUGUUGGAAAACCACCCUAUUGUGGUCACCUCUAGCUUGCCGUAAUUACGGUCUCUUUGGAACACCUUCAUUCCCUAGCUCCGAGGAGGUGUGCUUAGUCCCACAUUGACUAUAGAUAUUGCUAAUAUAAUCCAUAUGAAGUUUGUGUUAUAUUCACUAUAGAUGUUGGUUUUGUGGUACAGGUAGACCCUAAGCCUAAAUUCUAAUAUGGUAUGUAUCAAAGAUUCUCCUAGAUCCAUUGUUGGGCCACUCACAUUGCCAUCUUUAGACCCAUAGCCUUGGGCGUGAGGGUGUGUGUUUAGUCUCACAUCCACAAGAGAUAUGGCCAAUGUAGCCCUUCAUAAAUCAUGGACAAUCCCUCUCUUUAUAAGUUGAUUUUGUGGGGUUGAGUUAGGCCUUAUGCCUAAAUUCUAAGAAAUGUCAUUUGAUAGUUAGUUCUAGAUCAAUCUUUGGUUGUGAGAAGUGAAAUUUCUAGGCAAGUGGUGGAAAAUGUAGGACAGGAACACUGAGUGCUUUGCCAGCUAUGUAAUCUAUCAUAGAUUUUUGAUACAUCAAUAUUAAAAAAUUGAUACUUUCGUCAUUGUAGAACUUUUUAAUCCUUUUUUUACAUUUACUGCUUUUAAAUUGUUGUCUGUUUCAACAAAUAUUCCUUGUCGUGUAAUUGGGUUUUUGAAGUGUUUCUUUAUCUUCUUGUUCUUGCAGUCAACUUGAUAACAAUAACUUUGAGGGAAAUAGCAUUCCUGAUACAUAUGCCAACAUGUCAAAGUUGUUGAAGAUGUAAGUGAAUUCUAUUAUUCCUUCUCUUUAAGUAGGUUUUGCAAAUGCAAUGAGUGAAGUUGAGGUUCCUGAGGCUUUAUUUUAAAUUUUAGGUGUGAUGUAGCAAUUUGAGAUACUAUAACUUUUGUGAUUGAUUUCUUAUAUGUAGGAGAAGCAAUCAUACAAGAGAAAAUGUUGGCCAAGAUAUAUAAACAGGAAAAAAAUGUUUUAAAAAAAUGCUUGUGGAAAUCAUGAGAAUACAGUUGACUACAUGGUAGAACACCAUAUAUUGUCAUGCACAUAGUCAUAAACUCCAUGUUUGUCAUGGAUGAAUGCUAAGCUUAUGGAAGAAGCUUGCAGAGUUGCAGUGAAAGAAAAUAAUAAAGGAAGCAAGUGAAUAGCAUAGAAUGAUGACUUGCAGAAAUUGGUUAUUACAACAGAUUAUAUAGUAGUUAUAAGAAUAACUAACCCCACUAAUUGUAGUUACAUGAGAUUAACCAAUUAACCAACUCUAGUUACAAUGUUCUAUGCCAAGACCCCCCCUCAAGCUAGGAAUGGAUGUUAGACACUCCUAGCUUGGAAUACAAAAACUGAAAUGCACCAGGCAUGAUAGCCUUAGUGUAAAUGUGUGACACCCUCUAUCCCGACAUAUAAAAAAAAAUAAAACAUAUAAAAAUAUUGAUCAACAAAUUCACGUGGGUAAAAGGUUCAUAUUCACUUCACUAUCAUCAAAUAAGACUUAUUAAAAACAUAUUCGGCUCAAAACAAGGCCGUCAAAAUUUACAAAAAAAUGUUUUAUUAAAUCAGUGAGGUAAAAUAAAAUAAAAUAAUGUCAUGCAAUUGAAGUAAAAACACAUUCCCAAUGUCACAUUCUAUUAGAACAUUGUGUCCCAACGUCCUUCAACACAAGAUUCUUUAAAGUUAUCCACCUAGUCAUCUGCUCCCACGAACAUAAGGUUCGAGAUCAUCAUAGGAUCCAAACACAAAUAGCACACAGGGAGUGAGUUAUCACAAAAAAAAUAACAAAACAAAUAAACAAGACGUAAUCAAAAUAAAUUAUGGAAAUAUUUAUAACAUAACUCAACUUAAUACAACCCACGUCACUUCACCACUUUAUCUUUAAAAUUAGUUUUUCAAUCACUAAUUACAUUACACAUGAAUCACACACUCGAGUCAAGAUGCAAUAACACUAAUUAACUUCAUAAUAAACAAUUAGCAAGCGUUAUGCAACAAUUAUACUAAGACUCAAGCUUACAUGCAAUGUGAUACCAUGUUAGUGAAAAACCUCCCUGGGGCGCUUAGGAGUACAUAACAAGACACACCACACAAUGAGUAUGUCAGGUCACUCUCACUAAGUAAAAUUAUAAGGUGACCAGUCAGGGUCAUUCCAUUUUGCGAGAAUGAGCUAACCAUAUGAGAUCAACAUAAGUUUAAAUGACCACUCAAACCGAGUGUCUUUACUCCCAAGGCCUAAACUCCGAAGAAUCCGUUAGGGCCUCACCUUCCUGAUUCAAGUUCAACUCCUAAAACAGUUUUUUUUUUGCAAGCAGACACUGCUCAUGAAUUAUAUAAUACCCAUGACCUCACACUCGUGUUUCAAAUACAUUUAACAUAUAGUGCUACAAUUUAACACGGUUCCUAACUAGGAACUUACACUUUCUCUUUAACACUGUGCAUAAAUACUUUUUUCAAUAUAAACACUGAUCGGGUUAUUGUAUAAUUCACAGCUCACAACACAAUUAUUGUCACAUCCAAUGUUAAAUACACACACUUAUUCACAACCAAAUAUCAUGCCCAUAAUUUAACAUCUCAUAAUGUCACAAUCCACCAUCACAAGUUUACAUGUAUCUCAGAAAUUAACACAUGUUCAACUUUGUACUUAUACUCAAUUUCAACAAUAAUAUUAUAAGUAGGUACUACUCAUGAAUUAUACAAUACUCAUGAUCUCACACUCGUGUUUCAAACACGUUUAACACAUUGCGCUACAAUUUAACACUAGUUCCUAACUAGGAAACCUACAUUUUUCCUUUAACAUUGUGCAUCAACAUUUUUCUUAAGAUAAACACUUGUCGAGUUAUUGUAUAAUUCACCGCUCACAACACAAGUAAUGUUACAUCAAGUGUUAACCACACACUUAUUCACAACUAAAACUCAUGUUCACAACUUCACAUCUCAUUAUGUCACAAUCAACCAUCUCAUGUCUACGUGUAUCUCGCAAUUUAACAAUUCAACUUUGCACUUAUAUUCAAUCUCCAUAACAAUAUUAUAAUCUCAAAGUAAUAUAUUAUUCUACAAUUCAUCAUAUAUUCAAUUUAUCACUUAUAUACAAUUUCAAUCACAAUUUCAUAAUCCCAAUAUAACUAUUUAUUAUGCUAAUCUUAUUCAAAACACAAACAAAUUAUACAAAAAAUAUUUCUCAAUUUACGGGGAGUAAAACCCCUCAAACAAUUUCACAUAAUCAUACAAGAAGAAUUUUAAUACAAUAAGCAUCCCAAAAUAAAUCUCAAUUUGAUCCUUUAAGAACCCUUACACAUGUUCAUUCUAACCUCAAUUGCGAUAAACUCAUCCCUUACCUCCAAGCAGGCUCACGUGUGUAUUGUGACAACAAUAGUGGCAUCUCUAGCGGUUUCCUGAGAUUCCUCAAGUUUUUCCUCUAACUACUCUGAUGGGGUUCUCAAACGUUAGAGAGAAGAAAAAGGGAUUGAAGUCUUCAUUUCACUGUCUAGGUGUGAUGAGUAUUUCUCCCUCCACAGACGUUAUUUUUCAAAUACCAAUGGUGAAGAUUUGAGGAAAUAAAUCUUGAACCACAUAUCAAAAUUUCACGACAAUUCAACGGUUGACGAGUCCGGGGUUGUAGUUUUACUGAGACAGUUUUGGGUUUUUGCGGGAAAAGAAAAAGUUACGAUGAAAAGGGUAUUUCUUUGAGAUCUGACAUGUUUUCGUAAUUCCCAACGGUGAGAAUGUUCAAAAAUGAGUUUCAAACUUUGUACUCAAAUUUCACGACGAUCCAAUAGUGAAUGAGUCUGAGAUCGUCGUUUUUCUGAGAGAUUUAGUGGUAUGCGGGAAAAAGAGAGAGUUUUGGGAGGAGGAGAAGGGAAAACGAAAUUGAGAGGGAGAGGAGGCGUAGAGAGUAUCAUCAGAAAACUGACCUAAGAUGCAUCUAUUUAUAGCUAGGGUACUCACAACCUAUUAUUUACUCUAUUUUUUCUUUGUUUAUUAUUUUAUAAACAAAUACUCUAUUUUAUUUUCUAUCAAAUGAAUAAAUCAAAUAUCUUUUUCUUUUUUUUUUUCCUUCAAACCAUUAUUUUAAUUAAUAACAUCAUUUCUCCUUAUUUAUUUAAUUAUAAAAAUCUUACCAUUUUCUAAAACUCUAUUUUUUUUUACUAAAAAACCUCUUAAAUUUAUUUACGAAAAAUGAGAAGUUACAAAAUGUUUGCUAGUUGAUUUGCAGAAGAAAUAGGAAGAAGCUUCACAAGACCAUUCAACACUUUCUCAUGAACAAUAUGGCAGUCAAUCUCAAUGUGUUUGGUCCUCUCACGAAAAACAAGAUUAGCUGCUAUAUGAAGAGCAUAUUUGUUAUCACAGUAUAGGACAACAGGGUUAUGAAAUUUGAUCUUAAAUUCUUUGAGCAAGUAAGUAAGCCAUUGUAGCUCAUAAGUAGCACUUGCUAAAGCCUGAUAUUCAGUCUUAGAGGAGCUUCUAGAAAUAGUAGCUUGUUUCUUAGACUUCCAUGAAAUUAAUGAAUCACCAAUGUAGAAAGCAUAGCCAGUGAUAGAUCGUAUAGUAUCAAUGCAACCGACCCAAUCUGAAUCACUAGCAGCAGACAUAAAAAUCCCUGCACCUGGAGUCCCCUUGAGGUAUUUGAGUAUUUGAAAAGCAGCUUGCUUAUGAUUAGAAGUGGGAUUAGUAACAAAUUGACAUAGAUGCUGCACUGCAUAAGGGAUAUCUGGCCUAGCAUUUGUCAAAUAAAUCAAUCUCCCAAUUAAUCUCCUAUAAGAAUAGGCUUCCUCUGUUGAAAGUAGAAGUCCUGAGUGUUGGUGUAGUUUAGAUAUGUAAUCAGGAGUAGACAUUGGCUUAGAUCCAAGCAUGCUAGAAUCAUUAAGAAUGUCCAGUGCAUACUUCCUUUGACAAAGAUUGAUACCAUUAGAACUUCUGGCUACCUCAAAGCUCGGGAAAUACCUUAAAUCUCCCAAAUCCUUUAUUCUGAAAGUAUCAUCCAACAAAUGGGUAACCCUUUGAAUCUCAGAUAAGUUAUUGCCUGAUAAGACAAUGCCAUCAACAUAGACUAACAAGACAUCAAUUCUGUGAGAACCAUGUCUAAUAAACAAAGAGUGAUCAGAAGCACAUUGUUUGUAUCCAUGUGAAACUAGAAAGGAUGAGAGUCUGGCAUACCAUUGUCUACUGGCUUGCUUCAAACCAUAUAAGGACCUUUGAAGCUUGCAGACCUGUUCGGGUCUAGCCACUUUCAUACCCUGAGGAAUGUCCAUGUACACUUCUCCAUGCAAAUGAACAUGUAAAAAGGCAUUGCUCACAUCCAAGUGCUUGAGAUACCAUUGAUUGAUUGCAGCUAAAGCCAGUAAAAGUCUCACUGUGGUCAGUUUAGCCACUGGAGAGAAAGUGUCUAGAUAGUCAUGUCCUUUUACUUGAGUGUAUCCCUUGGCCACCAAUUUGGCUUUAUACCUCUCUAUUGAACUAUCAGAUCUAUGCUUGACUUUAUACACCCAUCUAUAACCAAUUGCUGAUUUGUGCUUAGGAAGAUCAGUAAGAACCCAAGCAUUAUUGAGUUCUAGUGCUUUGAUCUCUACAUUCAUGGCCUCAAUCCAAUCAGGAUCUCGAGAUGCUUCACUGUAUGACUGUGGUUCAACACUGUGUGAUAGAGGAAACAAUACUGAUAGGAGGGAGAUAAUAUGAACUGAAUGUUUAAAGAUUGAUCUUGCAGUGAUGAAUUGUCUAUCAUGAUGAAGGAAUCAAAAGGAAGUCAAAGAAGAAACGAAAUCAGAGAGUUGUGCAGUAGAGCUCUUCAAUGGAAGAGCUCUGAUACCAUCAUAAACUCCAUGUCUGCCGUGGAUGAAUGCUAAGCUUAUGGAAGAAGCUUGCAGAGAAAGAAAACGAUAAAGGAAGCAAGUGAAUAGCAUUGAAUGAAUUGGCUAACAGAAAUUGGUUAUUACAACAGAUUAUAUAAUUAGUUAUAAGAAUAACUAACUCCACUAACUAUAGUUACAUGAGAUUAACCAAUUAACCAACUCUAGUUACAAUGUUCUAUGCUAAGACAUAGAGUAUUAGUAUUUUGACUCAAUUAGUUUGAAUCAGUUUUGUGGCAAAAACCUAUCUGAUUUAAUCAUAAAAGAAAACUUGCAACUUGGUUUGGAUAAGUUUUGGAAUAGUAUCAAAUCUAUACUUACCCAUCCAAUCUUCAUCAUUUGGAUUGGGUCAGAUAUUUUUUUAAAUAAAUAAAUUAAGAAGACUAUUUUUUGAUGAGCAACCAAAUGAAAUUUCAUAAACUAUAGUAAGAGUAGAGUCCCAAACCAAUACAUGAAUUCUAGUGGCUACUUUUUCACUAAUGGGACAACACUUAUUAGAUAAAAAUCAAAUACAUAAUAAAAUUCUUAUAAAAAUCUCUGUCAAAGUAGUAUAUCUCAUCAUAAAUCAUAACUUAGUCUAUAUUACAAAUCACAAGUCAAAAUAAUUUCAAGUUUAUUUGAGAGUAAAAUAUGAAAGCUAAUAAGUUUAGUAUGUUUGUGGUUCGGUUUUGAACAUGACAACUGAAAACCGAACUUAAUUUAAUAAUAAAAUAUGGUUUCUUCAGUUAUUCAGUUAAGGGUUUGUUCUUGAAUACCGCUAGCUGGAUGAUGGCACACUAUCACUCUGCAUACUCUUCUCCUAUCCUCUGCCUAAUAAAAUUUCUCAACAAAGAAAAUUUAAUUUGGUCGAGGAGAAGGGUUUGGUGUCAAGGUUGACUGUCUAAAUCACUAAAUGUUGUUAUUGGUUUCUUGGUAUUAUCAGGAGCCUUAGGAAUUGCAAUUUGCGAGGACCACUUCCUGAUUUAAGAAGGAUACCUCACCUUCUUUAUCUGUAAGUUCAGUUAUCUGUAUUUGAUUGUUCCUGAGAAAUGUAAAUAUUGUAUUGUAUAUGUCUGGAAAAGAAAAAGUCUAGUGCAGCUUGUAACUGUGUUUACUGACUACUAUUUGUGAAAUUCCAGUGACCUCAGUUUCAACCAGUUGAAUGGAUCGAUUCCUCCGAAUAAGCUUUCUGAAAAUAUCACAACCAUGUGAGAAUCUCAAUCAUUUAAUCUUUCAUUGAUUGAUUUUACAUUUAAUUUUUUGAAUUCUACAUGUCAAUAUGUCAAUAUUUUCCUUGUAUGUUUGUUGGCCAAAGCAAAUUUAUAGAAUGUGAUAAUAUGAUUAGUUUUUUACCUCAUGGGAUAUGUGCAGUGAUUUAUCAAACAACCUCCUUACUGGAAAUAUUCCAUCCUACUUUGCUGAUCUUCCACGUCUUCAGAAAUUGUAAGUUGUUUCUUGUUUUAACCUAUUUUCUUCUACGUAAAGCUAUAUUACAUACUAUAAGCCAAACAAGAGUUACUACUAUCUAUCACCUUAUCUCACUUGCAGAUCAUGUAUUGAAUUACUUAUGAUAUGUUUUAUAUUGAAUUAUCAAACUUUUAUAUUUCCUAUUUAAUCAAUCAUGUUAUAAAUAAAUGGUUUUUACUAAUAUCAUCUAUGGGGCAGGUCACUUGCAAACAAUUCAUUGGAUGGCACUGUUUCUUCCUCCAUUUGGCAGAAUAAGACUUUAAAUGGAACAGAAAAAUUUUUCUUGUAAGAUCUGAAGUGAUAAAUUGCAUAAUUGUGGGAAUUUUACUAUGCUAAUAUCAUUGAUUCAUCUGUAUUUCCCUCUGCAGUAGAUGCUACUCAGUACUGGGUUUUUGUAUUUUAGUUUGCUGAGCAUGAGUUUCUAAUCUUGCAGGGAGUUGGAAAAUAAUAAUCUUACAACCAUAUCAGGCAGUAUUGAUCUUCCUCCAAAUGUCACAGUUGGGUACGGUUCUAAAUUUACUAGCUAUUGUGCAGUUUGUUCUGAAAUCAUUGUAGUUGAGACUGAAGAUUUUCAUGUAUUUUUUCUCCUUGUUAUGCAUGUUCAAAAGAUUAGUGUCAUUUUGCUGAAGGUCAAGAAUUUAACAUUAGAUUAAGCAUAUAUUCCAUCAUUUUUAAAGAGCUUCACAUGUUAUUAUUUGAAAAUUACUGUAUUUCAGGCUUAAUGGAAAUCCCCUUUGCUCAAAUAUAACCCUGAUUCAGUUCUGUGGAUCUGAAGCUGCUACUGUAACAAAUGGCUCAUUAACAACAAAUUUCAGUUCCUGUCCCCCUCAAGGAUGCCCUCCUCCUUUUGAAUACACUGUGGAUUGUUUCUGUGCGCUUCCAUUGAUUGUUUUCUAUCGGUUGAAAAGUCCUGGAUUUACAAACUUUCUUCCAUAUUUGAAUGGAUUUAAGGACUACAUGACUCAUGGUCUUGAAAUAUCUUUUGAUCAGCUAGAAUAUGAUUUUUAUUGGCAAGUAGGACCUCGACUGAAAAUGGAUUUGAAGUUUUUUCCUCCAUAUCUUAAUAACACUAGUAAUCAUACUUUCAAUGAAAGCGAGCUCCUACGGAUCAAAAGCAAGUUCACAGGAUGGCUAAUUCCAGACAAUGAUACGUUUGGGCCUUAUGAACUGAUUGGCUUCAAUCUUUUGGGUUCUUACCAGGAUGGUAAGUCUCUGAAACUUCUCCACAUUUUCUUUAGCUCGAUAAACAUGGGUCAGAAUAUUAUAGUAAGAAAAACAAUGCCGACACAAAUUUUUUAUCUACUGAUCUGUAUCAAUAGAAUAUAAGAUUAGACAUGAGACAAUCAGGAAAUAGAUAGUGCAGAUGCGCUGACCCCCUUCAAGUCUCAUCUCUAUUAAUUUAGUUGUUCAUAUAUGGUUGCACUUGAUUUUCUUAAAAAAUGAAGGACUAGAGAGCACAAAAAUACUUGUUCCAUGUUUGACUUUAAAAAUUGUCAUGUGAGAGAACAAAACAUAAGAUGAAACACAAGAGAAAAGUUACUUAAGGAACCAAAGGACAACUCCCAAUCUUUUCUUCUCCUUGAGUCUCCCCUUCUCUUCUUCAAUCCUCCUGCUCCAUACUUUCUUGCCUUCUACAUAGUGGCCUUUUCUGCUUCCCCUUGUUUUCCAAUUGAAUAUCUCUGUUACUCUUACAACCAAAACCCUAAUAUCCAUGGAUAGCCUACAAGCCAUAUACAAAGACUAAGAAGAUGAAGGGUCACUUACAACCAAAACACUAAUGCAUCAUUUGUGCUAUCCCCUGACAGCUUCCACAUUGCCUUUCUGUUUUAGGUAUUGAACCAUUAGAUUUUUAUCAAAAGGAGAGGAUCUUGCAUCAUGCAGAUUUUGUCCACUUUCUCCAGUUUUCCAUGUUUGGGAAAUUCCUCUUUUUCAACCUCCAUCUGUGUCCUAAUUAGGCUUCUUAUGCUGCAUUCAGUUGCUAUAGCUUUUGUGGUGAUAAAUAAUAUUAAAGUGUGAAAAUAAUUGAAUGAUAAAAAUGUCAAAAUUUUGUGCCUUUUCUUAGUGCAAACCAAACGUUAACUGCACAAAAAGCAUUGUAGUAAAUUUUUAAUUGUUUUGUCUAGAACUUGUGUACCAUUAUCAAUCAGUAGAACAAAAAGUUGUGUUCUCACUCAACUACUUGUACUAUGAUGUUAUGCUUCCCCCCCCCCCCCCCCCCAAAAAAAAAAAGAAGAUAUUGCAAAUGUUAAGCUAAUAAUUUUCAAUCUUCCUAUUAUCAAAUUAGCUUUUUCUCCAUAUGCAUGCUUCGCAUGUCAAAGUUUGCAUAAAUAACAGAUUUUGCUUUAUGUAAGUGAGCCCUCUAACUGACAUCUAUCUGAUUAUUCCUCAAUAGAUAUUCUGAUUUCCUCAUCCUAAUGAUUUGGAGAUGCUUUAGCAAAAAUGAAACAACUAUAAAUUGCAUGAUUCAGAUGCAGUGUUGAGUUCAAGAGUAUAUUGUAUGUGUUGUGAGUAUAUGACUGUCCUCAUACUGCUCGUUAUUCUUGCAGUGAUUCCCACGAGAUCUGAAUCACAGAAUAUACGUACGGGUGUGCUGGUUGGCAUAGUCAUAGGGGCAAUUGCCUGUGCAGUGACGUUAUCUGCAAUUGUUACCAUUCUUAUUUUGAGAAUAAAAUUGAGAGAUUAUCAUGCCGUUUCCAAGCAACGUCAUGGUGAGUUUUGUAUCAUGAAUUAACACGUGCAUUCCCAUUUUUCUCUUUAACUUGUCUCAAGCUCUCCGCCUCUAUAACAAUGAGAAGCUUGAUGUUACAGUGUGAUAUUUUAUUUUUGCCUGAAAAUUUAGUAAUCUUUUAAUGUCAUCUAAAAUACUCUUGCUGUUUUCCUAUUGACCUUUGGGGCUGUUUCUGUUCACAUGUUACCAUAAUAAAUUGGUUUCUUGAAAUAAAAGACCCAUGUUAAGCCAGCUACUAAAGCCUAUUCUUGCAUUCAUUGAUAAAUGUCCUUUGAUUUUUUUUCCUUUUUUUAGUUAUUAAGAGAAAUUUGAUUAGAGACAAAAGAGAGAAAGUACAACUAGGAGGAAUGGAGGAGGUUAAGAUACCAUGAACUUAAUCCUACAUACAAUAAGGAACAUGAAAAAAAUUGAAUGCAGCAAAGCUCCCAGUCUUUGCAAAUCAGAAUUCAGAAAUAGCAAUGCUCUUGUGAACAGCUAUGAAUAGAACACCAAAAGUAGCUCUAUCCCAUAACCAGCAUAUGGGAAAAGAGACACCCUUUUUUUUUGCGAGUGGAGAGGGGGGGUUGCAUUGAUAAGAUACAAGACAUUAAAAAGAUAAGGCUUCUGUCAUUGAAUUUUUAAACUGUGCCUAAUCAGGGUUGAAAAAUCAUUUGGAGAAUCAAAAAGAGGUUUAGCUCAAGACAAUCAUGUAAGAAGUCUUAUUGAUUUAGCUGGUUAACUCUUGUAACAUUAGAGAUGCUUAUGUAUUUGAGCAGCUCAUUCGGAACACGUGAUAAAUAUAUGAAGUUGCAGGUUGCUACAAAUCCACUUUUACCCCUUCAUAUCUUGACUAUGAACAUGAGCCUAGUUCGUAAAUUGGAUAUUUUAUAACAGAAGGUGCCAAUACCGCAGCAUUGCAUAUACUUGUUUUUAAUGUUUGUCAAAAUGUAUAAACAAUUUAACUGCAGUUCAGAUAUUCAUCUAUAAGCUCUAAAGAUAUAGUUUACACUUGCUGUAAAAGUACUAGUUUUUUUCAAUGUUUUCCUAUCAGAACCUUAACAUUCUCAGAGUGAAAUUAUAUCCACUUUUUCUUCCUGUUUUGAACUUGUUUGAUUGGAAUUUUAAAAAUAAUAUGUGGUACCAUGUAUUUACUGUUACAAAGCAUAUCUGAUUGGUUAUCAUGAAUGGCUUUAUUUAUAAAAUCUAUUAACAUAGACUUAUGUUUAUUUGCAGCAUCUAAAAUCUCUAUAAAAAUUGAUGGUGUAAGGGCCUUUACUUAUGGAGAAUUGUCCUUUGCCACAAACAAUUUCAGCAUCUCUGCUCAAGUUGGACAAGGGGGCUAUGGGAAGGUUUAUAAAGGGGUUCUUUCUGAUGGCACAGUUGUUGCCAUAAAACGUGCACAAGAGGGAUCCCUGCAGGGUGAGAAGGAGUUCCUUACAGAAAUAUCAUUACUAUCAAGGUUACAUCAUCGCAACCUCGUGUCUCUGAUUGGAUACUGUGAUGAAGAAGGUGAACAGGUAAUUUUUGUUUCCAAAUUCAGAAAAUUUAACUCUAGCCAUAUUUUAUUUUAGUACUUUUAAUGAUUAUCUUGGAUUCUUGAUGUUGUUUGUGGAAGUUUUAAUAUCCACUAAUCUCAUAGCUCAUCGCCACCAUUUAACUCUGGGAGGAUAUUAUUUUACCAAAAUUAGGAUAUAAACGCGAGUUAACAGCUUGGUUAGAAUGACUUUAAAAAGAAGUUAAACGCAGUCACAACACACAUCCAGCUGUUCUUGAAGUUUGGAUUUUGAAGAGUCAUUCCCAAAACAAGGAUUUAUUUGAUAUUUCAUAUAACAUAAACUUUCUUUAGCUUCUAACCUUGGGAGGAUGUAUCAUUCUAGUCCUUGCUGUCCUUUCAGAAAAUUUUGGUGUUAUAAACUCCCUUUCAUUCUUCUUUCUUUCUGACUCUAUUGAAUUUCUUCCAUUUGUCUUGUUGCUUCAUGCUUGCAGAUGCUGGUUUAUGAAUUUAUGUCUAAUGGCACAUUGAGGGAUCACCUUUCUGGUAUACAUUAUGUUCUUAUUUUCUGAUCUUAAAUUAUUAACUAAUUUUGUGGUUCCAUUGCUUUAUUCUGAUGAAUUAGUAGUCACAGAUGCUGUGUACAUUUUCCUUUUCUCUAAGCUCGAUGAUGCAGAUAAUUUGUUUUACAGAAAUUGUGUGCCUAAGUCCCUUUUUAUGUUAUCUAUCUUAAGAGUGUGCUAUAAUGUAUACAGUUACAGCUAAAGAUCCUCUGACUUUUGCCAUGAGAUUGAAGAUCGCGCUAGGGGCAGCUAAAGGUCUUAUGUAUCUACACACAGAAGCUGAUCCUCCAAUAUUUCACCGAGAUGUAAAGGCCAGCAACAUAUUAUUGGACUCUAAGUUUUCCGCGAAAGUGGCUGAUUUUGGACUCUCACGGCUUGCCCCAGUUCCAGACAUGGAAGGAGUUGUGCCUGGUCAUGUAUCUACAGUGGUAAAGGGGACCCCGGUAAGGCUUUCAUGAUUGGUUUUGGUUUUGCUGAAUUGUGCACUUGUAUAUUAAGUACAAGAUUGGCAAUCAUAUUGUUGCAAUACUAACUGCACUAGUUUUGUACUACAAAUAUAAGCCAGCUCUGUAAUGCUACUAACAUGAAAAGGUUCUUAACUUCAAUAUUCUAACACUUGAUACCUAUAAAUUUGUCUCUAAAUCUCUGUCCAGGAUAUCAAUUUUGAAAAAACUUAGGAGGAUGCUGACAUAAUUAUGGCCAAUGUUAGGAGUAUUUCUUUGGGGAAAAGAACAGGUGUUGAAGCUUGAAAGGUUGGGUCUAGGGUCCCCUAUUCAAAUGGUAUCAGAGCUUGCUGUGAUAGCCCCAAGUCCUACAUUGGAUGAAUUUGAGAAUAAUGGUUAGGCUAGCCAUUUAGGUCAUGUCAUGUCAUGUUCACCCCAGUUGCCCUGGUCCAAUUAAGCUUGAGUGUAACAAAUAGUAUCCCAGCUCUGACCACUUGGAAGUGUGUAUGGAUUUUGGAAGAUUGGUUUUAUUUAUUUAAUGAAUUUUUACCAUUUGUUUUUCACUGUUUUGAACAUGCAGGGUUACCUUGAUCCAGAGUACUUCUUAACUCAUAAGUUGACUGACAAGAGUGAUGUUUAUAGUCUUGGUGUCGUAUUUCUGGAACUUUUGACAGGGAUGCAUCCUAUCUCACAUGGCAAAAAUAUUGUUAGAGAGGUAUUUUCUUAUCUUAGAACUUGUUUUCUCUCCCUAUUCCCUAGUGUGAUUGGAUCAAACUGUGAUCAACAGUUGGAUGUUCAAUCUAUGCUGUUUGUUUUGUACAUCUGUUUUUCAAAAAUUAUUCUUCUUCUGCUGUAUUGUUAUAUUUUGCCUUCAUAUUGUUCAUGAGUGUUGCCUUUGUAAUUGAAUCAUGUCACCUCAAUAGAAAGAGAGAGAGAGAGAGAGAGACCCUUCCUCUCUACAGGAUUAUAUAGAUCCAUUUGUUGUCAAUGUCAAUUCUUUGAUUCUUUCCGUUUCUUCAUCUACACCGGUUCUGUUUUUUGUUAUCAAAUCUUUACUUGGAUCAUUUUUUGCUUAGCGAUGUCCAACUAUUAUUCCAUUAGUCUAAGGUUUUGGGUAAACAGAACUGAGUAAGUAUUUGCUAACAUCUAGGUUGAAUCAAAUUAAACAAUUUCCAAGUAACGUGUAUCCUUUUGUCAUGUAAAUAUUCCUUCUAUCAUUUCCCAUGUCUUAAGAUAUCAAAUAACAGAGUGCUUGACACUAUCACUUCUCUAAAUCUUUGAGCCCCUUAAAUCAAUCUCAAUAUUUCGAGGGAUUAGCCUCUGACUUUCAGCCAAGGGAUGCCUAAGUUCACCCAAAAAAUAAUAGAGUGCUUGACAAUAUCACUUAUCCGAAUCUUUUUCAGGUGAACGUUGCAUACCAAUCUGGCGUGAUAUUUUCAAUUAUCGAUGGACGAAUGGGGUCUUAUCCAUCUGAGCAUGUGGAGAAAUUUUUGACUUUGGCCAUGAAGUGUUGCGAAGAUGAGCCAGAGGCACGGCCUAGUAUGACAGAAGUGGUAAGAGAGCUUGAGAACAUAUGGUCUACAAUGCCGGAAUCAGAUACCAAGAGAGCUGAAUUUAUAUCCAGUGAUUCUGGCAAAGCAGACAGUCACAGUACACCAUCUUCAUCUUCUGCCUCUGCUUCUGUUAUGAAGACUCCUUUUGUAUCAGGAGAUGUGUCAGGUAGUGACCUUGUUAGUGGAGUGAUACCAAGCAUCAAGCCAAGAUAGAACUAUAGAAGUUGAAAAUGAUUACCUUCAUCAGUUAUGGUAGAUCCAAUGUGAUUUUGUCAUUGCCCUGUGCAUUAAAUAAUGUGACCAUAUAUGGUACUACUUUUCAUUCUCUUCUUUGUACAAUAUGAUUGACUGAUAGAGCUCUGGCUGGUAAAUAACAUCGAUUUUGUACACCAUUUAAGCUGACGAAGAUCUAGAUGCAGGGCCAAUUAAGUACUAGGGAAUUGAGGAGGUAUAAGGUUGAUCUAGUGGUGAAAGAAGAAGGAAAGGGAGGAAAAGCCAUAGGUUUGAAUCUCCGGUUAAUAAAAAACUAACAUCUGAUAUUUAUCGACAAAAAGAGUACUAGAGAAUUAAAUUCCGUUUCAAGUAGUUUAUUCAAACAUUUGAAUUGGAGCACUUGUUAUUUAAAAGCUUUUUUUUUAGGCAAGUUUAUGCAAAUUACUAAAGCUCUUCAUCAGUCACAACUAACCUAGUCAUAAUGGUUAAAAGCAUUAAGUUCUGAUUUUCUUAUUGAACCAUGUUCAUAAAUCAAAAGUUUAAAUUAACAGUUAUUUACUUAUAUUGAUACUAUAGAUUAUAACUUUAUAUUACAAAUUAAAGGUUAAAUCAUAAUUUUGAUCUCUCUUUAAUCCCAAAUCCACAAUUUUGAAAUUCUUAUUUUUUUUUCAUGAUUUUGAUCUCCCUGAUUUAGAAAAUGUCAUUUUGGUCAAAUUUUCAAUUUUGCUUGUUUUAAUUUAUUUGUAGUGGUCUAGUUGAAUUCUAGAUCUAACAUAUUAACUUAAAAUACCAUUAAAAAAUAAUUAAUUAAAAUCUAAAAAACAAACAAAAUAAAAUAUGAAAAUGAUGAAUUUGACUAAAAUUGUGAAUUUCUUAUAAUAGGGGACUAGAAUCUAAACUAAAAAGGAAUUCAAAAGUUUGUGGUUAUUUUGAAGGCUAAAUUACAAUUUUGGUAUCCCACUAAUUCUUUAUAUGUAAUUUUGUUCUCCUAAUUUUUCUUUUCAUGGAUCAACAAUUUCAAGGACUAAAUUAAUGAAUACAAAAAUUAUUCAAAUCAAAUUAACUUUUAUAUGCUAUGGAACUAACAAAUGGAGCGGGUGGGCCGGUGUUGGUAUUAGGGCAUUUCUAUCAUGCACUUUUACUAUUGUAUCAUAUACUCCCAUUGCAUUUUAGAAAGUUUAUUCCAAAAUGUAAAUUUAUAUUUUGAAAUUAGUUUUUCUGAAUGAAAUGAAAUCUGCCCGAUGUAAUAAUAAGGCAUAGGAUACAAUAGCUUACUUUCUAAAAUCUAAGUUUACAUUCUAAAAUGGGUUUUCUAAAAUGAAAUGAGGGUGUUGCGUUGGGCACCCAACAACGUGGGUGAAAGGGCUAAAAUGCACUUCACCCUUUCUUAUAAAAGCCUAAAGUGACUCAUCUGUACGAGCCAUUAUUCAUUCUCCUGCGCCGCUUUCUUCUUCUUAUUUGUUGCUUCUUCUUCCUCUUUUCUUCGGCAGUGCUUCUUCUUCCUCUUUUCUCCGACAAUGCUUCUUCUUCCUCUUUUCUUCGAGGGUGGUUGGCUUGGUUCGUGGUCCUUCGUUGUUGUUGUGGUCCUUUCGUCUUCUUGGUGGGUCGUGAUCCGUUAUUGGUGAAUGUUCUUCCUUUUGUCUUCUUGAUCACCUUCGAGGUUAGUGAAUCCUUCUCCAUAUGUUCAAGCAUUGUAUUGUUGUGUUUUGGUUUGUGUUGUUUGUGUGCGCCGCUAGUUCUUCGUUUCUGUCGUUCAUGGCUUUUUUUUUUUUGUAAAAACCCAUACGAAUUGUCAAUCCAUAUGUUUUUUUAUAUAAAAAAAAAAUCGAAUGCAUUUAUACAAUGGUUUUGUUGGAUUGUAAAUUUAUUCUGUGAUUUAUUUGUUGUUUGUUAUGUUUUAGUAAUUUUUUUGAAUUGUUAAUUUACUAUUUGCCAGUAGUAUUUUGUAGUAGUCAGCAGAGGUUAUUUAGUUAGUUUGAAAUAGAUAGGUUGAAAAAAUGGAUAGGUGGAAAAAAUUGAAAAACUAUAAACACUUGAUUCGUUAGUUUAAAAUAAUUUUAAAAUUGAUUUAAAGUAAAAUUUAUAAUAUUUUAAAUUGAUAGUUAGUUAAAAAUAAUGAUUGAAAGCGAAUUUAAAUUUUUGUUUAAAUUUUUAGUUAACUAUUAAAAAUUAUUGAAAACAAAAUUUAAAAUAUUUCAAAAUGUUAGAUAGUUAAAAAAUGAUUGGAAGAGAAUUUUAAUUUUUUUAAAUGGUUAAUUAUUUAUAAUAAUUGAUUGAAAAAAAUUAAAAUAUUAGAAAAUAUUAGUUAGUCAAAAAAAUAUUGAAAACAUAUUUUAAAAAAGUUUUAAAUUGUUAGUUAUUUUUAGAAAAUGAGUUUUUAGGAAAUGAGCGAAAACUAAAUUGAAGAUAUUUUAAGAUGUUAGUAAAAAAAUAAUUGAAAGCCAGUUAUAAAAAAAGUUACAGUUUGUAACAAAAUAAAAAAAAAUUGAAAGUUUUAGUUAAAAAUAUGGUUGAAAGAAAAUUUUAAAAAAAUUUAAAAAUCUUAGUUAUUUCUAUUAAGUGAUUGAAAAUAAAAUUUAAGAUAUUUUAAAUUGUUAGUUAGUAAAAAAAAAGAGUGGAAACAAAAUUAUUUGAAAUUGUUAGUUAUUUUUAAAAACUGAUUGAAAACAAAAUUUAAAAUAUAUAAAAAUGUAAGUUAGUUUAAAAAAAUUGAAACCAUAUUUUUAAAAAUUAUAAAAUUGGUAUUUAUUUUUAGGAAAUGAUUGAAAAAAAAAUUAAAAUAUUUAAAAAAGUUAGUUAGUUUUAAAAAAAAAUAUUGAAACCAUAUUUUUAAAAAUUAUAAAAUUGGUAUUUUUUUUAGGAAAUGAUUGAAAACAAAAUUUAAAAUAUUUAAAAAUGUUAGUUUAAAAAAAUAGAUUGAAACCAUAUUUUUAAAAAUCAUAAAAUUGGUAGUUAUUUUUAGAAAAUGAUUGAAAACAAAAUUUAAAAUAUUUAAAAAUGUUAGUUUAAAAAAAAUAUUGAAACCAUAUUUUUAAAAAUUAUAAAAUUGGUACUUAUUUUAAGAAAAUGAUUGAAAACAAAAUUUAAAAUAUUUAAAAAUGUUAGUUAGUUUUAAAAAAAGAUUGAAGCCAUAUUUUUAAAAAUUAUAAAAUUGGUAGUUAUUUUUAGAAAAUGAUUGAAAACAAAAUUAAAAUAUUUAAAAAAGUUAGUUAGUUUUAAAAAAAAAAAUUGAAACCAUUUUUUUAAAAAUUAUAAAUUUGUUAGUUAUUUUUAGAAAAUGAUUGAAAACGAAAUUUAAAAAUAUUUAAAAUAUUUUGAAAUUUUUAUUUAUUUUUAGAGAAUGAUUGAAAACUAAAUUGAAAAUAUUUUAAGAUGUUAGUUAGUAAAACAGAUGAUUGAAAGGCAAUUAUAAAAAAAAAUAAAAUUUGAAAUUAUUUUAAAAAAUGAUUGAAAUCAAAAUUAUUAAUAUUUGAAAAUGUUAGUUAAAAAAAUGGUUGAAAGCAAAUUUUUAAAAAAAUUAAAAAUGUUAGUUAUUUGUAAUACAUGAUUGAAAAGAAAAUUUAAGAUAUUUAAAAUGUUAGUUAGUUUAAAAAAAAUAUUAUGCAAAUAAUGGUCAGAACUAGAGGUCUUGGUCGGGCUUUAGGCAUAAGGAAAUUAGUAGUUUUCAUUUGCCCGUCGGAGAGGUGACUAUCACCUUGAAUGACGUCGCGUCGUUGCUACGUCUGCCUAUCAUAGGGGCGUUUUACAGCUUCGAGCAACUUCAUGUCGACGACGCUGUCAAUAUGUUGGUGGAAUUACUCGAGGUCAGCGCUGCAGAGGCGAGAACAGAGACGAUUCAGUGUCAUGACUCUUAUUCGACUAUCGUGGCUGUGAGACGUGUACCAAAUGAAGAUCGAGGCAUCUCACUGGACUGUAGCAGCCCAAGCAUAUUUGUUGCAUCUACUUGGAUGCACACUCUUUGCUAACAAGAAUGCCAUACUCGUGCACGUGGUAUUCUUGGAUGGAUUGCAUGACUUCACGCAGAGUGGGAAUUACGCUUGGGGCGCUGCUGCACUUGUGCACAUAUAUGAUAAUUUAAAUAAGGCGUCAAAGAGCACGACGAGGCAGCUUGUAGGAUAUAUCACUCUGUUACAGGUUAGUUAUGAUGUUACGAUUUUUUUUUCAUUGGAGUUGAAUAUUAUAUGUUGCCGCAUAUUUUAAUGAAUAUGUUUCUGUCAUAUUUAGUGUUAGGUCUACAAGCAUUUCCCGUCCGUUAGGUCUACAAGCAUUUCCCGUCCGUUGGUUCCGUCUACAAGCAUCGCGUGCAUGUCGAUAGACCUCUGGUAAGGCACUGCCCGUUUCCAUGUAUCGCAGGCGUCUGGACAGACUGACCCUUGACGUGGUGUGUUGGAUUCCAUAUGGUGACCACCGUUCAUUUAGAGAAUUUGAGUUCAUCUCAUUAUUUUCCGAUCAUCUCAGAUGGGGUCCCUUGACGGUCAUUCACCGAUCGACAAGGGUUGUACGACAAUUUGGAUACAUCCAGACUAUUCCAUCACAUCCUACUGCGUCUUCGGUCUCUGUUGAAGAAAUGGAUGAUAGAUGGAUGCAGUUCAGUGACUACAUUACACAUGUAGGGCAAAUCUGUGUAGUGUCUGGCCAGUGUUCGUCGGAUUACAUGGAUUGGUUCUACAUGAUUUUGAACCCAUUCAUGAGUCUGACACAGCCAGGGGUUCCUCAUAGAGUUCCACCGGUUCAACAAUAUGACACAUUUGUUGAACCAGAUGUGCAACACCUGAUGAGGCAUACGUUGAUGUGCAUCAUCUUUGACAUGCAGUGGUAAUAUAUUUUUUGGUAUUUGUGUUUGUUGUUUUCUUUUGUAUUUUAUUACUAAAAAUUGUUGUGUUUGUUUUUCUUUUCACUUGCCAGGAUGGUUUUGUAGCAAUUGCUAAUAAGUUGGAGAGGCUACUAAACUUGAGGAUCCUGACCGAAGGAACAGAAGCCUAUACUGUUGCUGAAGAAUGUUUGGGCAUCCCAAGAAGCUAUAUUAGCCAACCAACUGUAGGUCACAGAUCGAGGCGUAUGCGGCGUACCAACAAUCAUUGAAGUUGUUUUUUUUUUGCCUUAUAUAUGUCAUUUAUAAUUUUUUGGAUGUUUUAUUUAUUUGAUACAUUUAUGUAUUGAUAGUAACAUUUGGCUAUUUAUUUGGUACAUUUUUAAUUUUUUCGAUAAUUUAUUUAUUUGGUACAUUUAUGUAUGGACACGUUUUUAAUUAUGCGAUAUAAAUUUUUUUCAUUUGUUUAUCGUUAAUCAACUGUUAAUGUAGCUUUGAGGAAUAAAUUAAUUCGUGCAACAAAAAUAAAGCAUGUAGCAUCAUAAAUCGUUCUCAAAGUUGACAACACACUGUGAAUUGCAUGCGUAUUUUUUAAAAAAUGAAUACACGUACGUACUGGCAUAGAAAUGACUACUCAGUUGUUUUAGUUCUGUUAGUAGCAAUGCAUGUCUGGUGCAAAAUUAAAGCAUGACACAACAUUGUUGUACUUGACAACACAUAGACAAAUUUGCACGUGUCUAUUUUUUAAAAAAAAAUAAUACAAACAGUCUCGUGAACACCAUCUAUAUAUACCACACCAAUACUCUAAAAAAUCAUACAUUCUCACCUAAUCCAACUUUAGAAACCAAAUUUUACAACAAACUAUGGCAUUUUUGGGAGAAACAAGCAGUCAGACCAUUGUCAACUCCAGAUUAACUUUUAUUUUUCCAAAUGGAUCAAUUAUUCACAACGAAUAUGGUGUUUAUUUCCAAAGUUCCACUUCAAUACCCAUUCGAGUACCUAACGAUUGUGAUUUUGAAACGCUAAAAAGCAGAAUGCACAAUACCUUUCAACUAACCGACGAUCAAUAUUUGGAUGAAAUUUACUACUGGCAGUCAUUCACAUAUGCAGGUAACCAAUUUGGCUUUCAAUCUAUGCAAUUGAAAAAUGAUGAUGAUGUUAACACAAUGUUAAUGUGAAAUGAUCAAUACUCAUGUGUUGAUCCGAUUGAGUUAUUACGCACCAUUGGUAGAACACCGAAUGGUAUAUUAAACUUACUUCAAGCCACUAUGACCCCUACUCAUGAUGUCCUGCUAUAUUACAACGGGAGGUGGAACAUGCCACGUCAACAUGACUUUGUCGGUUACUCGUUCACAAGAAAAAAUCCAAAAAGAUUUGACAUUCCUUCGGGAUGUAUCAUCGAUGGAGUGAAGGAUGUAAUCAAGAAAGUUGCAUCUCAAGGGAUUCCCCCUUAUAAUAUUCAUGAAUCACAAACGGUAAGACGAUUGUUUUUUCGACAACUAGGUCAUUCUGAGUAUUCAGACAAAGUUAUCAAAUUUGAAGUUAUUGAGCUGAAAACUGAUGAUGACGUGUUAAAGGUCUUAGUACAGUCUAACUACUGGAAACAAUUUGGCCUAAUAGAAAUUUUAGCUGUUUUUAGUUAACCGGUAAUCAAAAUGAAAGAUGACAUGCCUCGACAAUCUAACGUGAUUCAAUUCAAAACUAGUAUUAGUUAAUUGUAGUUUUUGAUGUAUUUUUUGUUUGUUUCAACUAUGUUGAAGUUAAUGUAAUGUUUAAAUUUGUGUCCAUUAGCUAAUGAAACCAUAUCUUUAUUAUUUUCAAAGUAAUUAUUUCCUAACUUUUAAAAAUAAUGACUAAAAAUAAAUUAUUAUUUACAAAAUUGUCAAGAAAAUUAAGAAUGUCAGUAAAAUAAUUAUUUACACAAAUGUCAAUGGAAAUAACAUAUUUUAUGUUCAUUAUUCACCUAAAUCAACAAAUUCGGUUUUGAGCUUAGACAAAUUUCUGUAACGCUACAUUCUACCUACGUACGGGGUGGGCCACUACUUUGACUGAUAUUGACAAUGUGUAUUCCACAACAACGCCAAUGGUAGUAAAGGACAAUGGUCUCGUAAAAAAACCUAUUACAUAAUGACAAACAGAUUCAAUGUAAGAUAACCAACUACAUUGUUAGCACUUAUACUAACAUCAUAAUUAUGCAAUUACCUAUCCAAAAUGAUUUUCAUACACAUGACCAAUGCAUAUUACACGAUGCACAGAAGAAUCUGGUGACUUCUAAGAGGAAAAAAUGUCAUGUUUUGUUGUCGUGAAAGAGAAACAAUGAUCACGUUAUAUCAUGAAAUAAUGACAUAUCCCAUAUCCGUAAUAUUCAUUCACUUGUCCAUGGUAACCUACAUGUAAAAGACAACAAAUAACGAUUACUUAAAUGUUAUUUUAAGAAAAAGUGACCUAACAAUGAAUUUACGCACCAUAUAUAAUCUGUCAACAUGUAGGGAAUGCUUUAAUUCCUCAAAUCUCUCUAUGCCACCAAGCAGGUUGAUAUACACUUCCAACCAGAUUGUCAGUUCUUUAUGAAGAUGGUUGCGCACCAAUGACCACGAUUCUUCACCCAUACCCAAUAAGGCAACUAUUGCCCAAUAACCAUAGUUAUCAUUCGCUUUGACAUCAAUAAUGUUUUUAAUAGAAUCUUGGAUGCACGAAUGAAAUUGAUCCAACAUUGGAAUAUUUUGUCUCUGUAUUGGUUCCUCAGAUGACGAUGCACUAUGUUUUACUGAAGAAUUACUAUUUUUCACAAAGUGUAACGCAUCAACAUACUCCCAAUAAGACGGAUCACGUUUUGUUGACUUUUGUUGUUUGGUCAACGAUUUUUUUGGAGCAUGUAACAUUCCAUUUUUCGUAAACAAAUUAAAAAGGUUUUCUGUAGUUAAAAAAUAUAGUUUUAGAAAAAUGUUGAGUUUUUUAUAAUAAAAUAAAUAAGGAAAAAUAAUGUUAUUAAUUAAAAUAAUGGUUUGAAGGAAAAAAGGAAAGAUAUUUGAUUUAUUCAUUUGAUAGGAAAUAAAAUAGAGUAUUUGUUUAUAAAAUAAUAAACAAAGAAAAAUAGAGUAAAUAAUAGGUUGUGAGUAUCCUAGCUAUAAAUAUAUGCAUCUUAGGUCAGUUUUCAUACUGACGAUACUACUCUUUACACCUCCUCUUCCUUUCAAUUUUGUUUUCCCUUCUCCUCCUCCUAAAACUCUUUCUUUUCCCGCAUACCACCAAACUUGUCUCGGAAAAAUGAUGAACUCAAACUCAUUUACCGUUGGAUCAUUGUGAAAAUUGAGCAUCAAGUUCAGAACUCAUUUUCAAACAUUCUCACCUUUGGGAAUCAAGAAAACAUGUCGAACCUAAGAGAAAUACCCUUUGCAUUGUAGCUUUUUUCCCCCGCAAAAACCCAAAAUUGUCUCAGUAAAACUACGAUCUCGGAUUCGUUAACCGUUGAAUUGUCGUGGAAUUUUGAUAUUUGGUUCGUGAUUCAUUUCCACACAUCUUCACCGUCGGGAUUUGUAAAAUAAUGUCUGUGGAGGGAGAAAUACUCAUCGCACGUAAACAGUGGAAUUAAGACUUCAAUCCCUUCACAUUCUCUCUAACGUUUGGAAACCCUAUAAGAGUAAUAAGAGGAAAAGCUUGAGGAAUCUCAAGAAACCACUAGAGGUGUCGCUAUCGCUGUCACAAUACACACGUGAGCCCGCUUAGAGGUAAGGGAUGAGUUUAUCGCAAUUGGGGUUAGAAUGAACAUGUGUAGGGAUCCUUAGAGGAUUAAAUUGGUUUAUUUUGGGAUGUUUAUUGAAUUUUUCCUUUAUGAUUAUAAAUACAAUAUUGAUGUCCUGAUGUGAAUUGGUUGAUAAAAUUGAGUUCUCUUGGUGUUUUCGUUUUUCAUACUUAUGAUUUUGAUAUAAUUGUGCGAAAUUAUUUGAGGGGUUUUACUUCCCAUGUUGUGAUAAACCUUUUGUAUAAAUUGUUAUAUUGAGAUUAUGAAAUUGUGAUUCAAAUUGUGAGUAUGUGAUAAAUUGAACCUAUGAUGAAAGGUGAAAUACAUGUGUAUUAAGAUAUGUGUAUUGAGUUAUGAGCUAUGAACUGUACAAUCACAUAAUUGUAAGACCCUUUAAGGGCGAUGAGUAUUGUGAUGGGAUCCAUUGUGGGAACCCAACGAGUUUAAUCACAAGCGUGACGAGUUAAAAUGAUUUUGAAAAUUAUUGAGAAGUUGUGUGUAUUGCAUAGUUCAUAGGUAAAGUGUAUAUGAUUCAUGAGGUGUGAUAACAUGCUACUUUGGGAUUAUACCAUUGUGAUUGAGAUCAAAUAUAUGUGAUAAAUUGAGUAUGUAUUGACUCAUAAUAUAUAUGUGGAUUGAGUUGUGAGUUAUGAAUUGUACAAUCACACGACUAUAAGACCCUUUAAGGGCGACGAGUUAAUGCUAAGACCCUUUAAGGGAGACGAGUUAAUGCGCGACGAAUAUUGUGAUGGGAACCACUAAAGGGACCCAACGAGUUUAAUUACAAGCGCGAUGAGAUAAAACUAUUUUGAGAAUAAUUGAGGAGUCGUGUGUUUUGUACAGUAAAUAGAUAGAGUAUGUGUGCUAAAAUGUUUUCUGGGUUGGACCUGAAUCAGGAGGGAGAGACCCUAACAGACUCUUCGGAGUGUAGGCCUUGGGGGUAAAUACACUCAGUUUGAGUGCCCCUUUAAGCCUAUGUCGAUCCCGCAUGAUUUGAGCAUUCUCGCCAAAACAGCGUGACCCUGACUGGUCUCCCUAUGAUUUUACCUAGUGAGAGUGACCUGACUUACUAGUGUGUGGUUUGUCUUGUCAGUACUCCUAGGUGCCUAACGAGGUUUUUCAUUGAUAUGGUACCACAUUGCAUAUAGGAUUAAGUCUUAGUGUAUAUGUUUCAUAACGCUUGUGUAUUUAUCGAUAUUGAUUGACUUGGUGAUAUUGUGUUUUGAUCCUUAAGUACGUGAAUAUUGUAAAAAUGAAUGAGACGUGUUGUGUUGUGAUGUGAUGUUGGGCGACAAAGUGAUGAAAUGACGUGAGCUAUGUUUAAGUAAGUUUUAUUUUGUUUAUAUGAUAUUUAUACCUACAUGUUGUCUUGUUUCUCUCCAUUAGUUAGGAAUGUGAUAACUCACUCCCCGUGUGUUGUUUGUGUUUGGAUCCUGUGAUGAUCUCGAACUUUGUAUUCGUGAGAGCAAAUGAUUAGGUGAAUUGCUUUAAGGAACCUUGUGCUGAAGAACGUCAGGACACAAUGCUCUGAUAGGAUGUGAUAUUGUGGCAUGAUUUUUGUUUAAUUAAAUGAUGUUUUGAGAAAAAAAAAACAAUGUUUCUGACAAGUUUAUCUGGUAAUAAUGAAAUAAAUGUGAGCCUUUUACCCUUUAGAAAGGAUUUUAUUUAUAUGUGUUUUAAGAAUUUUAAUUAAUUAUGAUUUCUUAUUUCUUUUAUUAAUAGUACAUAUGUGUGGGGUAGAGGGCAUCACAGAGCACCCUUGGUAUUCAUCUUUUCUAAAGGAGGACACAUGGAGUUCAUAUCAGGAUAAACAAUUUCUCGCAGCUUUGUCUUCAAAUGUACUUUGCCAUAAACAUCGAGUUGCUCAAAGCGUUUCGAUAUGGUUUUCAUCUCCUCAGUUAUGGUCACCUAUGCCUUACAUAACCUUUGAUAUGAAAAACUAAGUCUCCGCCAAAAAAUAUGGAUUGUCUCUAGUGGUAUGGAGCCAACAACAUAUUUCGACAACUCACAUGCAUAUGGAAGACCGUGGGUACUCCUCAUGACACAUCCACAACGUGAAGGGUUUUUGCCUGCAUAAGGUACACGCUCAUACUCAACAACAAUUUCAUUUAAAGCGUACCUUGAUACCAUGCCAAGUACUUUUUUGUACAAGGUAACGUUAAACACAUGCCCAACCACGUACGUGCUUGUCUCAAAAGAUGCUUUAAUCUAGGUGUGUUGAAGUGUCAUCAUAUUGUUCAUUGCUUCCUAAACACUGCAUAUGUCACCAAAAGAGUUUUUAAGGAGUCCCUUUAAUGACCAAUGAGCACUCUCAACCCUACAAAUGAAAUAUACAACAUCAUAUAAACAACCGCAACAUUUUUAUUUAAGUCAACACUUAAACAAAUCAACACAAACAAAAAACAAUAUUCAUACAUGUUAGUGGUUGUGUUUCCUAGAUGCAUCACUUUGUUGGUCCAUGCUUUUACAAAUUUUUCUUUGUGCAGAAUCACCCAUGUUUGACACACAUAGUCCACAAACAUAGGCCAUGGAGAGCAAGUCAUUUCAAAGUUUUUAAGGUACUCAUCAAAAGAACUCUCACAUGAACAGUCAACCAAACUCCCCCAAGCCUUCAUCACAUAAUCUCAUGCAUUCUUUUGAGCAACUAGGGUUUUCUCCCUCUUAUGGAAGAACGGUAAGCAUGUCUAGCAUUGUAAAUUUGUUUGAUUGUUGUAUAACUGUUGGCAUCGUGCUCCUUCAACAUCAACAAAAUAUUUCUUGACGUCACCAUUGACUUCGUCAUAUCAGCAACAACAAUCUUCUCUUCCUUUGUCAGUCGACCCGCAUAUGGAUGACCAACUAAUGACUUUUCCAUUUCGUGAUUGUGAAUCCCACAAACUAACUUCACUAUCCAUCCUUCUCCUCCUAAAACUGGCAUCGCACGCAACUUGAACGGGCAUCCACAUUUUCUACUGUCAGUUCAUGUUCUUACCAAAUCAUUCUUCUUGGGCCUAUAUUCACCACUCAUUUCACAAGCUAUUAAUAGAAAGGAGGCCCUUCCUCGAACACCAGUAUUGGUGUCUAACCUCAUUAUCACGACAAAAAAUCUAAUGUCACGAGCCACCAAUUGAGCCCAUUGUAAAACUUCAUCACAACUAGCAAACAACUAUAAGACAAUUCAAAAAACAUCUAACAUCAAUAAACACGUAUGUAAUAUAAUUACUGUACCAACAACAACAAAUUAUACAAAUACCUGAGAAGUAUUAAAGGCAUCAGAGCAAUUGACAUGUUCUACUUUCACACCAGCAUCUUCCUCAUUUUUAACAUUCAUAUCAACUUCUUUAGACAUGAUAUUAUCAUACAUAUGUUGUUCUUCAUCCAUCUUAAUAAAACAUUUAACAAAUUCAAUGACAAAAAAUACAACUUUCAAAAAUUAUUCAAUCACCUCAUUUGUUAUCGACACAAAUAUAGCUGUAUAGAAAAAUAAAAUAUAAAUGUAUUGUACAUCAUAUAACCACAUACUACAUUUUUACUACACAUAUUUAUUAAAAUGUCAUAUAAAUCUAAUAAAUACAUAAUUGUAAUAAACAUUAAAAUACAUAAUUCAAUUAAACAUGUAAAUACAUAAUCAUUGUCAUAUAAAUCUGUUUAAUUAUUAAUCAUUAGUAAAUUAAUUUAUAAGCAAUCUAAUAUUAGUUUUAGCAAUUUUUAAAAGUUUAUAUAUAUAUAUAUAUAUAUAUAUAUAUAUAUAUAUAUAUAUAUGUAUGUAUGUAUAUUAUCUUUUUUUACCAUUCUAAUUACAGAAUACAUUUUUCUAUACAACUAUUAAAUAAUAUCACCAAAUCAAAAUUUCUAAAAUUGCUAAAAAUAUUUUAAAAAAAAUUAAAUAUAUAUUCAGAAUAUUUAUAUUUAAAUUGCAAUUUAAAUAAAAAAUUAAAUAUUACUUAAAUCCGUAUGAACAUACGGAUCAGAAAUCUGUAUGGUCCAUACGGAUCGCCAAUCUGUAUGGUUCAUAUGGAUCGCCAAUCUGUAUGGUCAUACGGAUUGCUUAUUCGUAUGGUCAUACGGAUUGCUGAUCCGUGUGUUCCUAAGUUUUUUCGUGUACCUCUUCUUCUUCUUCUUUAUAUUUAAAUUGCAAUUUAAAUAAAAAAAUUAAAUAUUACUGAAAUCCGUAUGAACAUACGGAUCAGAAAUCUGUAUGGUCCAUACGGAUUGCCAAUCCGUAUGGUCAUAUGGAUUGCUAAUCCAUGUGUUCCUAAGUUUUUUCGCAUACCUCUUCUUCUUCUUCUUCUUCUCCGACGACGAAUAAUGACUCAACUUCACCGUAUACUCCUAACGAUGCAUGUACACCACUGGAGACCAAAUACGCUUCGAAAACGACCCUAACGAAAGCAACUUAAACUAAUGGAGUGAGAUUUUGCGGAAACAAAAAAGCGCUGCAUAAAUGAAAAUCAAUUAUGCUAUUUAUAUGGAUAUUUUUUGCAUUUUUGAAAGUUGUUGGGUGCCCCAAGGAGCAGCCAUGAAGUGAUAGGUGCAGGACGCAAUAGCCUGCUAUUAGCCUAUUUAGGCCUCGAAACAGCGGGUUCAACAAACUAACCCUCUUCUCGAACAUUCUAGGCCAACAUUGGGCCUAGUCAAAAAGUCAAACAUGCGCCACUCAAGAUGCAAGCUCAUACGCAUGCACUCACACAAACGCGUGCGUCCGAAGGGUAUAAAAGCACCACCACCUCCUCCUCUCUCCAUCUUCAAGGUUUCUAUUUCAUCAAAAACAACAACACCACCAACACCAACACCAUGGGAAGAAGUAAGCUUCAACAACCUCACUCUUCUUUCAAUUUCUCAGUUUGUAUUGUGUAUAACUAUAACUUGUUAGAAGUAGUUGUUAGUUCUCUUACUUCAUAAUUAACUCUAUAUACUUCAGUUUUUAGACAACUUAAAUGAUAGAAGUAGAACUUGAACUUUUGUUUCCAAAUUCAGAAAAUUUAACCCUAGCCAUAUUUUAUUUUAGUACUUUUAAUGAUUAUCUUGGAUUCUUGAUGUUGUUUGUGGAAGUUUUAAUAUCCACUAAUCCCAUAGCUCAUCGCCACCAUUUAACUCCAGGAGGAUAUUAUUUUACCAAAAUUAGGAUAUAAACGUGAGUUAACAGCUUGGCUAGAAUGACUUUAAAAAGAAGUUAAACGCAGUCACAACACACAUCCAGCUGUUCUUGAAGUUUGGAUUUUGAAGAGUCAUUUGUAAAACACGGGUUUAUUUUCACUUUCAAAUAUUGGGCAAUGAAAAUAUUACUUUCAUUCUUAAUUAUAAGAUUAUUUUUUAAAAUUUGUUUGUCUCUUUUUUAUUAUAUUAUUUUUUUAAUUUUAGAUUAUUAAUUUUUUUUUACAAAUUCUUACUUAAUUAUUUUUUCUACAAGCAUUAAUGAAAAAUAAUUAAGUGGAUCAAAAAAUAAAAAGGAUAAUUUUGGAAUAAUAGUAUAAAUUUAAUAUGAUUAACUAAACUAAAUAUUUUAUUAAGAGAGAUGAAUUAGUUGAAAAAAUCUUUAUAAUUAAGGAUGAAAGGAAGUAUUUGACAAUUUUGUUAAAAAAUUAAGUUUGAGACAAAAGUUGCACUACUAAUAUUGCCAACGGAUUAAGACUCUUGCAAAAAGUUUAAGUGCAUAUUUGAUUUUUGGUUUGUGGUUGAAAUUGUUGUAGCAUGCAUUCCAAUACAAAUCCAACUAAUAAAAACAAAAGUAAGAGUCUUGAUCUUUUAGAGAAUUACUUUUGUCAUAAAUCAUUUUGCAUCGGAUUGCAAACAUACACAAUAUCUUUAUCAUUGACAAAAAUUGCAAACAAACACAUCUCAUGUGUUUGCAAUCGUGGCCGCAAUAACUUUAAAAUUCUCAAUAUUCAAAAUACUAAAAACAAUUUUUAUCAUAUUUCUAGCAAUGUAAAAUGAACAGAAUGCUAGCAAUUGUUACAUAACAUGAUAACAGAUUGCUAGCAAUCCAAAAUUAACAAUUUUAAACACAAGCAGCAUGUAACAGCUUUUAAUAAUACAAAGCUUGUAAAGCUUGGAUAAGGUUGAAUUUAGUAGUAAUGCCCAUUGAUUUGAUAGUUGUCUUACAAUUUUCAGGGGAUUUACCAAGCUCAGUCGAAGUGAGUAUUUGAAGUUGAAGUCUGGGAACAGAAUUGUGCCAGAUGGGGUCAAAGCCAAGGUUUGUCUCUAGACUAUUGAUAGCAGUACUACAACAUUGCACCAGGAGGAACGUCCACGAAGACAAGCCUCACGCCCUAAACACCUUGAGGAUUACGUAUAAACUUACGUAUAAACUUGUACCAUGCAACAUAGAGAAUGCAACACCAGUUAGUUACGUUAGCUUUAGACCGUUAUUCCGUUAUCUUGGUUAGUUACGAGCUAUAACGGUGCAACACUAUUGUAUAAAAGGAACACCAUAUUCAUGAAUAAAGGAAAGCAAAGCCAUUUUUGAUAAUAAUAGUUAGCAUAGAUACUUCUCUUCCCUUCUCACCCAUAACAGCUUGGUCCGACCUGCUACUAUGGCGGAGCACGGUACCCGCCGCACCACCACUGAUCGUCUCGAGGAGGCCAUCUCGACCCUCGCCGCAAAACACUCCAAACUAGCCACUUAGGUUGACGCCAUGUGUGAAAAUUUUUCUAACAUGCCUCCGCAUCAGCAUCCAUCUUCUUCUCCUCGCCUACAUCAGCGCCCCCCCUUCAAGCUUGACGUACCACAAUUUGACGGCCACGAUCCACUGGGAUGGAUCUUCAAGAUCUCCCAGUUCUUCGAUUAUCAAGGAACGCCAGAAGAAGACCGCAUCACUAUCGCAUCCUUUUACCUUGACAGCGCCGCACUCAGCUGGUUCCAAUGGAUGUAUCGAAAUGGCUUUAUUACAUCAUGGCAGGCAUUACUUCAGGCAAUUGAAACUCGCUUCGCUCCAUCAAUUUACGAUGAUCCUCGUGGCGCAUUGUUCAAACUGGUUCAACGAGGCUCAAUCACGGAGUACAUGACGGAGUUUGAGAGAUUGGCAAAUCGUAUCGUUGGUCUCUCUCUUUCCGAUGUACUGAGUUUCUUCAUUUCCGACCUCAACCCCGAAAUCCGGUGAGAGGUGCAGGCACUCCAACCUGUUUCAUUACCUCACGCCAUGGCCCUCGCCCGUCUUCAAGAAGAUAAGAUCAAUGAUCGUCGGAAAACCCCGCGGUCUUCCUUUCCUCCCCCACAGACCCAGGCUCCAUCCUUGCCUAUUCAAACCCAAACAUCUCGACCUAAAACUCCCUUCAUUCAGUGUACUCCAGAGGACAUGAUGUACAGGCGCAAAAAGGGCUUGUGCUACAACUGUGAUGAGAAAUGGAGCUCCUCUCAUCGAUGUAAAGGACGUGUUCUUUUGUUCAUUGUAUACUCCGAUGAGUCCUCUACCUCUGAUAUCACCCUCACAGAGGCCUCGCCACAAUCUAUCAAUGAGACGGUGCCACCAUUCGACCCCACCCCACUUCACCCUCAGAUUAGUCUCCACGCCAUGGCUGGCAUUCCGGCCAUCGACACAUUUCGUCUCUAUGGUGUCAAUAAUCACGCUCGUGUCACUAUCUUGGUGGACAGCGACAGUACACACAAUUUCAUCCAACCACGUGUUGCGAAGUUUCUUGGGUUGGCAAUGGAGGAAACCAUGGCCCUUCGAGUGAUGGUAGGAAACGACUCAGUCUUGGAAUGCCGGCAACUGUGCCCCGCCACCUCCUUGCUCAUACAGGACCACUCAUUCACAGUGACGCUGCGCAUUUUGCCGUUAAGUGGCGCCGACGUCGUUUUGGGCAUUGAGUGGUUAAGCAUCUUGGGCCCUAUUAUUACCGAUUACACCUCCUUUACCAUGCAUUUCAGCCACUUGGGCCAGCCCGUUAGCCUUCACGCAGACGUUCACACCAAUACUGACCCAACCUCAGCCCAUCAACUUCGACGCAGCAUCCACACCCACUCGGUCUCGGGUUUGUUUCACUUGUCUCUUAUACCCGUCACCUUACCCGAACCAGACACCGACCCACCUCACCCCAUUUCCACCAUUAACGACCUUCUACUCAAAUUCCAAACUCUUUUCCAGCAACCCACCACCUUACCACCGCCUUGAUAGCACAACCACCACAUCAACCUCCUUCCCUCAGCCCACCUAGUUAACGUUAGGCCCUAUAGGUACCCCCACUUUCAAAAAAAUGAGAUCAAAAAACAUGUGGCAGCGUUACUCGAGUCCGUCUUUAUCCAACCAAGUCGUAGCCCAUUCUCCUCACCAGUAUUAUUGGUGAAGAAGAAGGACGGCACAUGGCGUAUGUGCGUCGACUAUCGAGCACUUAACGCGAUCACGGUGCGAGAUCGUUUCCCGAUACCAACCAUCUUCUAGAUGAGCUUAGUCGCGCUUCAUGGUUCUCGAAGCUCGACUUACGACAAGGCUUCCAUCAGAUUUUAAUGGCGGAUGACGACAUUCCUAAGACCGCGUUUCGCACCCAUCACGGUCACUACGAGUAUAGGGUCAUGCCUUUCGGCUUAUGGAACGCGCCCUCGACCUUUCAGGCAGCCAUGAACGCCCUACUCAGUCCCUUCUUGCAGAAGUUUGCGGCAGCCUUUUUUGAUGACAUAUUGAUCUAUAGUGAGUCCCUUCCUGAUCAUCUUCUUCAUCUGGAGUGUAUCUUUCGUGCAUUGUCGCAGGCCCAGUACUACCUCAAGCAUUCAAAAUGCUUAAUUGGCCAGCGCCAACUUGACUACCUAGGCCACGCCGUGUCCGGCAGUGGGGUGCAACUUGAUCCCUCUAAGGUUCAGGCCAUCGUUGACUGGCCUACUCCUCGCUCCCCGAAGGACCUUCGAGCCUUCCUUGGCCUCACAGGGUUCUAUCGUAAAUUCGUUAAAGGAUACGCAGGCAUGGCGGCACCACUGACUAAGCUACUAUGCAAAAACGCCUUCCACUGGACUUCCAAGUCUCGGACCGCAUUCGAUUCCUUGAAAACCGCCAUGACCAUAGCCCCAAUCCUCACCCUACCCAAUUUUGGCCUUCCCUUCAUCCUCGAGACAGAUGCAUCAGGCAGUGCCAUGGGAGCAGUUCUCCAGCAACAAGGCCACCCCAUAGCAUUUUUUAGUAAGCCUUUCUAUCCUCGACUUCAACAUGCAUCUGCAUACGUUCGUGAAUUACACACGAUCAUUGCCGCAGUCCGCCGGUGGCGGCAGUACCUACUUGGCCACAAGUUCACGAUAUUCACAGACCACAGGAGCCUCUGGGAGCUUAUGUCUCAGGUAGUUCAGACACCUGAACAACAGUUCUAUCUAGCCAAGCUCCUGGGAUUCGAUUAUGAUAUCCAAUAUAAGGCUGGAUCCUCAAAUAUAGUCGUGGAUUCCCUUUCUCGUGUUGACUGCUCUUCCCAGGGUCAGUGCCUCAUCCUUUCGGUCCCUCACCAUGAAUUUAUGAUGCAGUUAAAGGAGUCGUUGGAAGCUAGCACAGAGUUCCAACAGCAACGCGCUGCCAUACUCUCGCAUCCUGAGAAAUACGCGCUGCCAUACUCAUCAGGGGUGCAAUUUGGUUAGACUCGAAGAACCCCUUCAUACCGGCACUGUUAUAUGAGUACCACGCCGCGCCUAUAGGAGGCCAUUUCGGAGUGAAGAAGACACUGCAUCGCCUGCAAUCAAGCUUUCAGUGGGCUUCCAUGGCGAAGGACGUUCGAACAUUCAUUCGUAAGUGCAACGUGUGCCAACAGGUCAAGCACAUCACACAAAGACCUGCGGGGUUGCUACAACCGAUUCCAAUACCUAACUUCGUCACGCACCUUCCAAGUUCGCAUGGUUUCACGGUGAUCCUCGUGGUGGUUGAUCGGUUUUCCAAAGGCGUCCACCUAGGAGCCUUACCUACUCAGUUCAUGGUGUUCAAAGUGGCCACCUUGUUCAUUGAUACGGUGUGUAAGCUCCACGGGUUUCCUCGUAGUAUUAUCUCCGAUCGAGAUCCCGUCUUCAUAAGCUCCUUCUAGCGAGAGUUGUUUAGAUUGCAUGGCACGACCCUGCGUAUGAGCACAGCCUACCAUCCUCAAUCGGAUGGGCAGAUGGAGGUCAUGAAUCGCACCAUUGAGCAGUAUCUUCGUUCAUUCGUCCACUAUCAGCCGGCGGAGUGGUACAAGUUCCUUGCCCUAGCAGAGUGGUCCUAUAAUACUUGACAGCACUCCAGCACAGAGAUCACUCCGUAUUAAGCUAUCUACGGCAAGCCACCGCCUUCCGUCCCUAGCUACAUCCUGGGCUCUUCCCACAAUGAUGCAGCAGCAACAGUUCUACGAACAAGGGCAGAGAUUCACACGGCACUCAAACGUAGGCUGACCAAAGCCCAGGAUACCAUGAAACAAUUCGCGGAUAGGCAGAGACGAGAAGUCCAAUAUGAGGUUGGACAAUUGGUGUACGUUAAGCUUCGCCCCCAUCGUCAGCUUUCGGUACCAACAGACAAACCCAAUAAGCUCACCAAACGCUACUUUGGGCCAUUUUGCAUUUUGAAACGUAUCGGUCAGGUCGCUUAUCGUCUACAGCUUCCUCCGGGGUCCAAGAUACACCCUGUGUUCCACUGUUCGAUGCUCCGCCCUCAUCACGGGCCCUUCGAGUUACAAACUUCCUCUCUUCCACCUGAAGCCAUUCACAAUCAACCCCUCUUAAAACCUCUAGCCAUCCUUGGCUCACGAAUGGACUCAUCCACAUCCCCACCCACUCGUUCAGUGCUAGUACAGUGGGCUGGCUUACCUCCAAAAGAUUCUACUUGGGAGAAUUGGGAGGAUGCCCGUGGUGACCAUCACCUUGAGGACAAGGUCAGUUUCCCAGGGGAGGGUAAUGAUAGCAGUACUGCAACAUUGCACCAGGAGGAACGUCCACAAAGAUAAGCCUCACGCCCUAAACACCUUGAGGAUUACGUAUAAACUUGUACCAUGCAACAUAGAGAACGCAGCACCAGUUAGUUACGUUAGCUUUAGACCAUUAUUCCGUUAUCUCGGUUAGUUACGAGCUAUAACGGUGCAACACUAUUGUAUAAAAGGAACACCAUAUUCAUGAAUAAAGGCAAGCAAAGCCAUUUUCGAUAAUAAUAGCUAGCAUAGAUACUUCUCUUCCCUUCUCACCCAUAACAACUAUGACAUAUGGUUUUGAAAAGAUUUCUAGCAAUGUGAUUUUUGGAUCAAAGGAUUGAAUUUUUUGUUUGUUCUUUUUAGGUUCUUGGGUGUCACGGUCCUUUGGCGAAUCAUGAGCCUGAAAGAGCUUUCUUACCAGCUACUGCUUAGGCCCUUUAGCAGUUAGCACUAGGAAAUUCAUUGAAUAUGUGGUUUUCUCUUUUCACAUGGUGAAUGGAUAUGUUGUUGUAACUAUAAAAUUGUGUUUCUGCUUGUGUUUUGUUAGAAGAUAUCUGAAUUAUGUAUUUGUCUAUCUUCCAAGAUGUCCUAGGGGCUUGAAAGAUGCAACAUUUGAUGUAUUUAAAUCUCAUUAUUCUGUAAGAGUUUGAACGUAAUGGAAAUAAAUAUAUAUGGUCUCUAUUGUGUAUAUUGUUUCUACCCUUAGCGUUUUGAAAUGUAGUAAAAAAUACAAAAGGAGGAGUCCACAUGCCCCUUAUGUUUUCCUUUUAGCAUACUUCACCUUUUCCUUUAAAGUUUGUAGAGCACCAUACAUAACAGAAAAUAAUUUCCAUUUAGGAUGUUUUUUAAUUGAGAGAUACUAGUAACACAGUCUUUUAGUGGGUAGAAAUCUUCUGAACUAAAUAACAAUUUUAACAAAAAAUGAGUAGAAGUUUUCCAACAGAAUGAAUGGUUGCCCUAUCAUGUAAUAUUCUUCAAGGGACCUGUAAAAUGUGCUAAGAGUUUGACAAGAACUGAGUGCUCUGGUUUAUGAUCACAUUUAAAGUCUAAAUGAACAAAUGUCCAUGCAACUUCUGGAAUUUCUCUAGCUUUAUCUGUAGGCUCUCUCCAUUAGUGUGUGCUUUUAACUUUUAAGGGUAAAUCUUUGAGUUGUUCAAUGUCAACUUGUUCCAAAUUAAAUCCAGAUGAUGAGGCAUAUAAUCUAAUCAUUAUGAAGACUAAUACGUGUACAUACUUUCUGUCUCACAAACUCUAAGAUUAAUAUGAACCAUUAAGGAAAAAAGUUACAGUAGGAUUAAGGUUUGUAAGUGUUGGGAUCCUUCCUUAAUUGGAGAGGUUCUAGAAAAUUCUAGAGUUUUCUAGAAAAGUGUAGAAUUUUCUAGAACGUCCUGGAGAACUCUAGAGUAGUGUAAAACUCUCUAGAAGCUUGUGGAAGAAUAUGGAAACCUCUGGAAUAUUCUGGAGAUGUGCGGAACCUUCCAGAACCUUAUGGAAGAGUAUGGAAGGGGGUAGAAGAGUGUAGAGACUCCUAGAAUGUGUGGAGCAUUCUAGAGAAUUAAUCUCCACCCUAGGAUACAAGUAAUCUCCACCAUUCAUUGUGGAGGUGGAGUAGUAUAAAUAAGGGUAGGAGCCUUCAUUCCUAACCAUCCAAGACAAGAGUGAAUCCACUUCUUAGAGUGAGAAAGCUAGAAAGUUAGAGAGCCUCUCUGAGAGAGAAGAUAAAUAGAUUGGGAAGUCUCUAUCCUCAAGCUUUAGUAAGCCUCUCUAAGAGAAAAGAUAAAUAGCUUGAGAAGUCUCUAUCCUCAAGCUUGAGUGAGCCACCGUAGAGUGAGUCGAUCUCAAGACAAGAGUGAAUUCACUCCUUGGAGUGAGGAAGCUAGAAAGUUAGAGAGCCUCUUUGAGAGAGAAGAUAAAUAAUUUGGGAAGUCUCUAUCCUCAAGCUUGAGUGAGUCACCAUAGAAUGAGUCAAUUUUGUAAACACAUCCUUGUAACCCUACUAUCAUUUUGCAUAGUGGAAGAAUCUCCAUAUUGGAGAAAUAUAAUCGUGUGCUCUCAUUAUUACCUUUAAUUACUAAGUGUCUAUCUUAAACUUCACGAAGCGGGAAAGUCCGAGUUUUCCCAAUAGUAAGAAAGUCAUUUAACAUAGAUGAGUAGGAAAGGUUUGUAAGAAUAAAGCUUGUGCUAGUAUCACAUCAAUAAACUAACCAUGACUACCAUGUAUUCCUCAGUGUGAAUGUAAUUGCGAAAAUGAGUUACACAAUAACUUUUCUAACAUUCAACAAAUAGAAUUAGUUUUAUAUAGCUAUUUUUACUACAAUAUGAAUUUCAAGAGCAGUAGGAUUCUAAUCAUUAACAUAUAUAGACAUUAAAGGUAAUAUUGAACUGCCUGCACUCCUAACUUCCCAAUUGGAUAUUGAUAUUUGUGUUCUUCAUUGCAAGUUGAGUGAACCAAAAUAUGCCACCACCAUUGAGAUCAAGCAGAGAUUCUAGAGUUAUGUUGCAAUAGCUAUUGACCCACUCUUAUAGUAGCAUAAACCAAUGUGUGCAUAUUAUUUUACAGAAUCAUCAUCAACAAGUAUUGUAAAAUAACAAUAUGCACAAGUCAAAUAGUAGCUAUUGCAACAUCAACUCUGGAUUCUCUGCUUGAUCUCAUGGUUGGUGGCAUACUUUGGUUCACCUACCUAGCAAUGCAGAAAACAAAAUUGAAGCUAAGAGUACAGCCAGUUCAAUAGUUUAAACAAAAAGAACAAAAGAAAAACAUGAUUCAAGAUCAUAGGUUACAGCAGUAAAAAAAAUUCCUCUGUGCAUUCAUUAACUUGAUAUAAAUAGAGACAGAGAAAGAGAGAUAGCUUUGCUUAAGGAGGUGGAGGAGGAGAGAUCAAUUUGAGAGAGAACAUGCGACGACGUUUGUCGUCGAUUGAUUCACCAUGGAAGCAAAUUCGGGAAACUCAGAAAUUUGCCAUCACCUUAAGGAGGUGGUGGAGGAGAGAUCAACAUGGAAGAGUCACCCGAUUCACUUCCAUGAUGAAUCAAUUUACGAUAAAGGUCAUGGCAUGGCCCAUGGGAUUCAGAAACUUUAAAUUGUGGGGAAAUACUUAUAGGAGACUGGAUUCUCUCCUGAAAAUAUCUUCUCCAGCAGCUCUUUAGAGCCUUGGAUGGAUGUUGGAAAAAAAAUGUUUCUCUGUCUUUGCUCAAACUCGUCUAAAAGCAAAAGGUAUUUUUUUUUCACUGUUGGAAAAAAAUCUUCUCUCAAGUCCCAAGCUCAUCAAAAACUAAAUGGUAGGACUAAAAGGUUGGACUGAUUAAUAGGUCGUUAACAAAAAUAAUUAUCAAGGAAUUAAGAGGUUGAAUUAUGAAGUUAUUGGUUACUUACAAAUUCAAAUUUUGUUAUAUUUGGAUCUAAAUAUUCUUAAAAUUCUUCUUGAUAAUCUAACAUAACACAUUCCUGAUGGUACUGGUUACUAUUUUAUAGAUCGUUACGCCUUUCGUGCGGGUCGGAACUUACCCAACAAGGAAUUUCGCUCCUAGACAUUAUCCGGGUAAGAAUGAAGCCAACUCUAAAUUUAACUUCACAGUAUGCACAAAAUAUCAAAGAGCAUAUAAACAGUAUGUUAAUACAGAUCUAAUUAUUAAUUAAACAUAUAAAAAAGUUCUUUGAUAAAAACAAAACACUCUUAAAAUAUCUUUGUGUCCUAAAAAAAUCUCUUAGUUACUAAUUAAAAACGUUAUUGCUAAAAAAAAUCAGCAUUUCAUCCCUGCUGAUUCUCCUAAAAGGAACCCCUGUUGAUUCUGAUAACUAUGAUUUGCCUUACACGAUGAGUAAUAAUAUGAAAAUACAUUCCAUUACAGAUAUUCUAUUAAUAUUUUUAUUUUCUAUUUAUAUUACUUCAUUUAUGUUACUUAUAUUUUUUUUAUUUCUUUAAAUGUCAAAUUGAUCCACCAUUUUCCCUAGACGUUAUGUGUCGGCACGGCAGUACCAACGAUGCAUUAAAAUUUGACAUUGGACCAACUCAACGGACAUUAUUAAUGAAUUAUUAUGAAUUAUGGACCACUUCUAUUUGUGCUAUAUAAUUUUUACAAUGGAAUUCAAAUGGUUUAACUUUUUAUUUUAGCAUUGAAAUGCUGAAAUACUGUAUAAAAUUUUAAAAGCACGAUUUAGUCAUUUAAUUUAGAAUGAUAAAUAAAUACGUUAGUUUAUAAAUAUUUAAUAUUUAAUUAAACUUUAUAAAGUAAUAAUAAGUGUAUUUUAAAAAAUAAUUAUAAAAAUAUUGUCAAUAUUAAUGAUAAAUGUUAGAAACUUUAACUACGACAGAUAAAUAAAUUUUGGAAACAUUUUUAAGGUUAAAAACAAAAUAUUUAUUAAGUACAAUGUUAAACAUAAUAGGUUUAGUAAAAAUAUGUGUAAAAUACUAAUUAUGACUGAAUCAAUAACAUGACAGAGAGCGAGGGGUACCAUAGCGGAGAGACUUAAUCAUGUGCAAAUCCAUCAUUAGGAGAGGAAGGAGAUAUUGACACAAUAUUUGUAAUCCUUGUUUAAUUUGGAUGACAAACAACGCAGAGAGAAGCACGAUGAAGCGGAUUCUGCGGAAGACAACAACCAAAAAUAUGGCGUGCUCGUGGGAGAAAAAUAAAUUUUAGAUUAAUUAUUUGUAUUAUUAAAAAUAAAGUUAAGUUACAUUGUUGCCCUUUUACUGAUGAUGCUGGUUUCAAAUAGCAAUUAAUGAUUAUUUUGUCUAAUUAAAAAGAUGCAAGUUGCUAUAAUACUCUUUCUUAAAAGUGAGUGGGAAUAUUAUAACAAAUAAGAGUAUAACAAAUUAUAAAUUCUAUCUUGAUUGAAGUAGUUAAAUAUGAAGUAGGAUUGUACAAAACAACUAAUAAGGCUGUAGUUCCCCUUUAGAAAAAAAAAAAAAAAAAAAGGCUGUGCUUUGUGGAUUUUCUUUUCCUAAGUAGUUUGUAGAUGUUAGCUGAAGUAGUCAGUAUUAUCAGUAACCCGACCUUACAUUUUUUCUUCAUAUCUCACUAAUAAAAAAUAAACAUGUGUGAUGAACUUAUUGGUGAUCUUAAAGAUUGUAUUCCAACUGUUAGGUAAUAUGUGUCUUCCUUCCUUUAUAUUAAAAUUUAAAUUUAAACUUGAUGUAUAAAAUAUAUCUGAAAGAGUUACGUUUAUCAUGUAGUAAAUAUUUUUGCUUGAAAUAAAAAAAUAUUUUAUGUUGAAAAAAUACUGGGGUAAUUAUCAAAAAGGACCCCUGGCAUUUUAUUACCGUUAAAAAAAUUUAUAUACAUACAAUUCAAUAAUUAGAUCAAAUUUUGAAAAUAAUAUAAUAUUACAAUCAAUAAUUGGACCAAAAUUUUUAAUGUAUUUCGUUGUUAACAUUAUAACGUUGGUCUCUCUCUUUGUUGGUGUAAUAAUGCGCUAUUUCCCUUCUAACACUAAUAGAUUUGAAACAUUAAAUAAAAUUAACAUUAACAAUUAAAAGUCAGAACUCUCAAGUUUAAAAACGACUUGAAGUAGUCUACUUCCCAUAUAAUACAUCAUUGAUAAUGAUUAAUGAUUCAUCCAUUUGAAAUUGGAACUUUGAAAUUGUGUCAAUGAUACAUAGUAGGGGAAACUUAUAGUUAAUUGUGAAUUUUUGUAUUUUAUUUUCGCGAAGUAACAAACUAACUAAUUAUUUAAUGCAAUCGUAUACUUAAUUUAAAAAUAAUAAAUAAGUUGAAUGAAUAUUUAAUCAUUGGUCAAAUAAAUAUGAUAUUCUCGUUCUUGUUUUUAAAGUGUAAGUUUCUAUACAUAAUACAAAAAUAAAAUUAUAUUUUAAUAAUAUAAUCCUACCUACACCCAGUUAGCUAUAAAAAGAUCGAGAAAGACUCUCAUACAAUGGGAUUGUUGAAUCACGUUUGUAAGGUGUAGAACACGCCGUGUUGAUCUCUCAACUCACAUUAAGCUUUAUCAUUUUAUCCUAUAUUAAGGGAGUGUUAGUAAUACAUUAUUAAUAUUUUUCAUUAUAAAAUUAUAAAUAAAUUAGAUUUGAAAAGAAAUAUACUAAUAUAGUAUUCAAUGUUAUUAAUGUAAUAUAUAUACAAUUAUAUAAAUACAUACUUUUUCCUAAUUAUAUUGAGGUUUUUUAAAAAUUAGUUUAUAAAACAAGUUUUUUUUUUAAAUAAAAAAACGCAAAGACCGCAAGUAACUUACGAGUGAAUUUGUCUGUUGAUGUUUUCUUUUUAGUUUUGAAUUUUGAAUUUUUUUUAUCAGAUCUUUGCAACUAUCAAAUAGGGAGGAGAGUUUUCAUGCUAAACAAGAAUAAACUCAAAAACAGUGCACUUAAAUUUUCCGCAAUAAUCCAAGUGGACCUUGGACUCACGAUACUUUCUUGGCACUUGCUAUUUACUCCUUGCUUUUGCUAAGUACACCCCAUCCCCCUUUUUCAUAUUUUAAUUACCCAUUAUACCCUUUUUCCUUAAAGGGAUACACCCCUUGGAAUCUUCUUUUUCUAUUAUGAAAAUGUAUUUCUGGAAUUAUACUUAUUCCAAAAAUGUAUCAUAGUUCUAGAAAUACAUUUUUGGAAUAGGUAUAUGUUAUUUUGGAAAGACAUUUCUAGUAGUUAAAAAAAUAGCUUAACCAACUCACUUAAGAGACACUACACUCUUUAAUCAAUGACGUAAACCUAGAUUACAAAAUGAACACUUAUUUGAAUGCACUCAAAGGAGAGAAACCAUUGUUAAAUGCUUUGCUUUGCAAUUAAGAUGUAUAAUAGAGGAAAUUAAUGAUGAAUGUGCCUUGAAAUGUAAUGUCAUGUGAAGGAAAAUACACAAUGUUAUAUGUAAUAUACACAAUAUUAUAUAAUGAAUAUAUGUGAAUGUGGGGUUAAAAUUAGAUUUUAAAGAAUAAUAGUUAUGACAUGAAAAUAAGACUAACAAACAUGAGGGUGUAAGAUAAGAGAUUAAAAGGAUACGUCACAUUACGUUUCAAGGUAUAUUUAUCACUAAUUUAAUCUAUUAUAUACCUCAAUUGUAAAACAAAGAUUUUGACAUUGGUCUCUCUCCAUUAAGUGCAUUCAAAUGAACCUUCAUUUUCUAAUCUAGGUUUACAACAUUAAUGAUUGCAAGCUGCAAAUGACUCUUAACUCUUAAGUGAUUUGGUUAAGAUACGUUUUAUUACUAAAUAAAUGUCUUUUCAAAAUAAGUAUAUGUCAUUUUGGAAAGACAUUUCCAAAAGAGAAAAAGGAGGUUCUAAGGGGUGUAACCCUUUAAGGAAAAAAGGUAUAAUGGGUAAUUAAAAUUAAAAAGGGAGAAUAGUUGUAUAUUUAGCAAAAAUAAGGAUGUAAGUAGCAAAAAUAGGGCUGUAAAUCAUACAUUAAGGAGAAUUAGUAACUAGGCUGAAGCAAUCUCACCACAUUAGUCAAGUAGGGUUGUUGCUUCCUAUGUAACAUUAUGGUUUCCCUAAUUUCUAAUUAAGUUGUUUUAAUUAGAUAACAUGAAUAAUUUAAUUUAAUUUAAGUGUCAUAACUAAGUAAGAGUUUAAUGUCUAUGCACUAACGGUGUAUAAUAGUUUUACACGGUCAUCCAAUCAUAAAUCACCAUUUGAAUUAUUUUAAGAUAAUUAUUUUAAAAGCCAAUAAACUUAUCAUACAUACUGAGUUGUGAUUGGAUGAUCGUGUAAAAUUUUUUACACUGUUAGUGUGUAACCAUUUUUCUCAUUAAGUAAUUAAUUAUGCGAUGAUGGUGUGUAAUGCUUGUAUGUAUGUUAUGGUUAUAUAUGCGGAAAUCCUUGUUUGGGUGUGAGUAGUAAGUUUUAGGGAGUUUGGGAUGAGAUGAAUGAGCCUUUAGUGAUAGGAAUGGAGUGGGUGAACUUAGGAAGUGAUGGGGUGCAAAUAGAAAGAAGAGAAAGAGUUGUAUCACUAAAAACUGAACCACAACACAAACCCUUUCAUUUCACUCUCUUUUUCCUCUCCAAGACAAUCACCCACCAUUAGAGAGCCAUUAGAGAGUGUGAGACCUUGAAAUUUUAGCAUAAAGGACAUUGUUGUUGAGCUUCUUUGUUUGAAUUUGGAUUGAUUUCAAAGGUAAAAGACCUUCAUUUUUUCCCUCUCAUCCUCCAUUUUCGUUUUUCUCCAUGGACACUUUUAGAAGUUUCAUAUAUGUGUUCUCUUUCAAGGUUUUGAUGUGUUUUAUGUUGGUUUUUGGGAUUUGGGUGGUGUGGAUAAAGUAAAAUUGUAGUAGGAGUGAGGGAAAACUUGCAUCUUGGACCCAACGUUUUCUCAUUUUUUCCUUUUCUUCAUCUCAAAGCAAGUUCCUUGAGUUUGAUAGGUAAUUGAAGCUUUAAACUAACUUUUAUCUUAUGUUUGAUGUGUUGGAUAAUUGUUUUUAGAUUAUUAAUGGUGACUUAAUUCGAUGUUCAUGUUUGGAAAUAAAAUAUUUGAGUUGGAUAUGGGUUGGAACUUAUUAGAGGUCAAGAAAAACAUAAAAUUGUGAUUCUGCAAACCUUGUUUUGCAAUGGCUAAAAUUAUUUUCGUUGUGGCUAAAAGUUGAGUGAGGUCUCUUGACCUUGUUUUGCCAUGGCUAAAGUUAUUUUCCUUACGGCUAAAAUUUGCAUUAUGGCUAAAAUUAUUUUCAUUAUAGCAAGAAUCUAUCAAGUUAUAGCAAAAAUUUAAGUGAAGUUUGUGGUCCUUCUUUUAUCGUGGUGAACUUCAAGCUUUUUGAGGCAAAAAUGGAUCUUAAACUCUUCUUAUAUUUUCCUUUGAAUUGUCCUUGAGCUAGUGAAUAUUUCAAUAAAGACAUUAAAACUCUCUGUUAUUUCUUGAAUUCUUAUUAUUCAAGUUUAUUCACAUUCAUAUGUUGAGAUUGUGUUUGAUUAUGAUAACUCAUGGUGUGAAAAGUCUUGUGAUAUGUAGAUGAACUAUGUGAGAGUUCAUAUUAGGUGAAAAUGAUAUGAAUAAUGAAUUGAAGAGGAAUUAAACAAGAUGUGAAUGAUGGACUGAUGGUAAGUUGAAUGAGAUGUAUGAAGUUGAAGUCAUGCUAUUAUCGUGUAACUAACUUUGUUUUAUGAACUAAUAUAAGAUGAUUUUGAUAUGAUAUGUUGAGUAACUAUAUGUACAUGAGGACUCAUAAAAUACUUAUUGUUGAAGUGAUGAUACUUGUAUAUGUCUUAAUUAUUGUAGUAAGAAAUGCUCAUAAAUAUGUUAAUUGAUGAAUAUAUGAUUUCUUGAUGAUGGUUUGAGAUGUGGUUGAGAUGAUAUUGUUUUAUGAUUAUAGUUGACUUUAUUUUGAGAUUAUGAGAUUCACAUUCAUGAGUUUCUGGGGAGUUGUUUGCAAUAAUUGAAGGUGUUGGAAUGUAUUGCUAUACUUAAUGAACUAUAGGAGGGUCCAUGAGUGUGAUAAACAUAUGAUAUUAUAACCUCUUAUGGUGUUGAGAUUGGUGAAUGAAUUUGUGAUGACAUAUUAUAUUGAUUUGAAUGAUCAUAACAUACAUGCAUUGAUGAAUGACAUUGCAUAUGAGUAGGCACGUAAGUUGAGGAUGCUUGGUGGGUGCUCAGCCUAGUGUUAGAGGUUGUCAGUGGUGAAUAACGGAAAUGAGCCUAUAUAAUAGAUGUGUGGGUGAAUCCAUAAAUAGAUUAAGGUCUUUUCAAGCCUUACUAAGGUAACCCACUAUCAUGUUCAUCCAUUUUUUUUUAUAAAAUCACACUUCCUCCGUAGGGUUAAUUUGAGUCUCCCUGAAUGGUUAAGGUGUGACUACGUUAAGGGAUGUACUUAGGUUAAUCAUUCAAGGUGAAAUCUUUGAUGAGUAAAGAGUCAGCAUGACAUAACAUGAUAGUUAGACAUAUGCAUUGAUAAUUGGGAUUUGAGAAUGAUGUGUUACUUGAUGAAUCAUGGAGAACUUUGAUGCCUGGUGAUUGAUGGACUGAUGAUGACAUUGAUGUAUAAUGGUUGAACCUUUAAGUAAUGUGUGAUUAACUGAUGAUUGUUGUGAGAUGCAUUGUUAUGAGGAUUUUAAGACUUAUGCUUUAUGUAUGAUUUCUACAAGUUAUGUUAUAUAUGUGAUAUUAGUGGAUCAUGCUUUAGUUGUGAAGUUAUAGUAUGCUAGUUUUUUUUUUUUGGUAAGCUUACCCUUACAUUGUUAUAUGUGUGAUUCAGGCAUGUGAUGAUCCUGUAUCUGACGUACGUGGGGAACAAAUAGCUAGGAGGUGACCUUGUGUCAUUUGAGACUUCAUGGACAUACAUACUGAUGUGAAGACGUGAUUUCUGUUUUUGUUGCCUCUUUAUAGUCAUGUAUAGUGUUGAUCGACUUAGAGUUAUGUAGUUUAUCCUUAAAGUGUGGUUUAUGUUUAUAUGUACAUUCUGAGGAGAUUUGAGUUACUAUGAUAUGUGCGUGUGUGUGUGUGUGUAUAUAUAUAUAUAUCAUGUGAUAUUUUAUUUUGGAGUUGUGCGUUUUAGCCUUUGACCUUUGAAAUGUGAAAAGUUUACAUGUAUUUUCCUAAUCAAAUUAAUAGAAGAGUUUUAAAUGAAUUAAAAUAAUUCUUCUGCAUGAGUUAGUUCCUAAUUUCAUGUGACAAUGAUGGAUGGUUACAUCCUGCACCCAACAUUUUUCUUCAUGCACCUACAUAUUCUUAAAUAUUCCAACAUGUCAUUUCUUCAAGUUCAUACACGGACAACCUUAUCCCUAACUAAUGAACUCUCAUCUACUAUUGUUAUCUAGCGCCCAUCUAUUUCUUCAAGAUGUUUACUUGUUGCCCACCCCAAAGAGUUUAAUAGUCAUGCACUUACAAUAUAAAAUUAUUUUAGAAAAGGAUUCAUUCACAAAUUACUCAUUGUAUAAUUUUUAAGACCAUUAUUGAAAAAGACAACAAACUUACCAUACAUUGUGGUUAGUGAUUAAAAGACAAUUUUAUAUUGUAAGUGCAUAGUAUUUGUCUCUAAAAAUAAUAGGUUUUAAGACAUUUGUAGAAUGCAUUUUUUAUGUUAGAUAAAUUAAUUUACAUUAUUUUGUAUUAAAUAAAUAAAAACAACGGGAUUAAAAAUUUUAAUUUACAAAUCUUGCAUGGAACAUUGAAGAAUAUAAUAAGUAUAGAAUUCAAUUGUAAUGUUAUUAAAAAAAUUAUUUUUCAUUUGAGAGAAAAAAUAUAUCAAGAAAUUUUGUGACACAUUUUUAUUUAAUUCAGAUCUUUAACAAAUAUUGUAUAUAAAAAUAUUUUAACAAAAUAAAAACUGGAAAAUGUACAUUAAUUUAAUGCACACAACAACAAUAAUAAUAAAAAUAAAAAUAAUUUACAUCGACCACUUUUUAAAUUAAUGAUUGUCUUUAUAACAUAUUUAACUACCGAAUUCUUAAGUAACAAACUUCUAAAAAAUAUUACACAUUUUCUUAGUAUAGAUAGUAUCUUAGAUUUUUCUCAUUCGAGUGUGAUUUAUUCAGUUUUACUACUUAUCUCCUAACUCUUAUCCUUAAUUACAAUUUUACUUUUAUGUAAACUAUGAUGAAUUGUUUUAAUUUUUUAUAUAUUUAAAAAAAUCUUAAUUUUAGAAAAUAUUUUAAAGUAACAAAAUUAAAAUUCAUAUUUUAAACAUUUUAAAUCAUUUAAGAAAUUAUAUAUGUUAACAAUUAAUUUCAACUAAUCAUUUUUUUAUUUAUUGUGUUUUUAAUUUAUGCAUGUAAUAUGGUAAGUUGAAUUUCAUGUUCUACAAAUAAUUAAAUUAACAAUUCAUCAUGUAUUUUUAAAAUUAUUUAAGGCAUUAUAUAUGCUAACAACUUAUUGCAAUUAAUCAUUUUUUACUUAUUGUGUUUUUUAAUUUAUGCAUGUAAUAUGGUAAAUUGAAUUUCGUAUUCUACAAAUCAUUCAAUUAAAAAUUAAAUCAACAAUUUAUGAUGCAUUUUAUAUAUUAGAUAAAUUUAGUCACAGUAUUUUAUAUAAACUUAUGAGAUUAAAGUUUUAAUGGGUCGUACCCGUCUAAGAAGGGAGAGUUAAAUGGGUCGUACCAUUGAGCUAAAUUCAUUUUGUAACCCAUAGAGUGAAAUUUAUUAUGUCACCAUAAAGUGAAAGUCACUUAUUCUUUGAAUAAAAGUCUUAAACACUUAUUCUACUUAAUAUAUAUUUUUAAUAAAGGUUUAAAAAAUCUAAUUGUUGACUUAUGUAAUUGUUGGCACCCAAAUUAUGUUGAAAGAGAUGAAGUUCAGUUGUUGAGGAUUUGGUUAAUUGUCUGAAUGUGGAUAAGGAUAAUUCAGUUGCUCAUUGGAUUGGAUUAGCUGAAUGGGUAUCUAGUCCGCAUCAGAGUAUUAGUUGAAUUAAAUUAUAUUUAAUUUAAUAAAGAUAAGAAAAUAUUUUUAUGAUUUUAUCAUUUUUUAAAUGGCUUGUAAAAAUUAAAACAAGUCGAUGAUAAUGCUUCUUUUCCUUAAAAAUAAGAAGCAGUUGCUAGUUUCUUCAAAAUUUAAAGUGCAGAUAAAUUGGCUUGUGAAUGGAGGAAAUCAUGCCUAGGUUUCGGAUAAGUCACAAUUAGAAUAACUCAUACCUAUCAACCGAGUUUUAACUCAAAUUCAACUAUGAGAAUUAUAAUUAGUAGAAUCAAUGUAAAAUUAGUUAAAUGACCCAAACCAUGUUUUAGGCGGUUAGCAAGUAAAAAAAAAAACAAAGUGAUUAAGUAGAGAAUAUGAAUUUCUACCCGACAAAUAGGUCUCAUACUUAAUUUGUAAAAGUGACCAUCAAUUCAAAAUCAAGCCUAUUUUACUCCAUGUUUUAUCUUUAAUGUUUUCUGUCUUUUAUCGCUUUAAAUUACAACUUCAGGCAACUUGUUUUCUACUUCUUUUUUUGUUCACCUAUACUAAGCAUUAUUUUUGAACCUACAAGAAACAUAUUCCCAUUCUUAGCACAAAUCACCUUACCAUUUGGAAUCAUGAUAAAGCAAGGCUAAUUGAAACAUAUUUUAGCUAAUUUUAUAAAUUUUUACACGAUAACGGUAAGAUUAUCUCGGUCAUGUGUACUAAAUUUUAGAUAAGUUAAAUAUUUAUAAAUAUGUAAUUUUGUAGCUUAUUUCUUGUAUUUUUAAAAAUUUAUUAAAUGUUAAAUAAAAAAUUAAUUGAUGAAGUAGGAAAUAAUCUUUAAAUUAUAGUUUUAAAUUUAUUUUCCUUGUUGAGAAUUCUUAAUCCUAUAGAUGAAUUAAUAAAUUCAAUGUCUAAAAAAUUACUAUGCAAAAUAAGCUAUUCAAAAUUAAGAUCUAACUUAGUUUGUUGGGUAUCAACAAUUCAAUUAUUUUAAAUCUAAUAUCAGAAUUCAAUUCACUCUUGUUGGGAAAGUUUUAUCGGACUGCGGUAAGACCGGCGAUUUUGUACGGAACAGAAUGUUGGGCGGUCAAGAGCCAACAUGAGAAUAAAGUAGGUGUAGCGGAGAUGAGGAUGUUGCGGUGGAUGUGUGGUAAGACUCCACAGGAUAAAAUUAGAAACGAAGCUAUUAGAGAGAGGGUGGGAGUAGCGCCUAUUGUAGAGAAGAUGGUGGAAAAUAAACUUAGGUGGUUUGGGCAUGUAGAGAGAAGACCGGUAGACUCUGUAGUGAGGAGAGUAGACCAGAUGGAGAGAAGACAAACAAUUCGAGGCAGAGGAAGACCCAAAAAGACUAUAAGAGAGGUUAUCAAAAAGGAUCUCGAAAUUAAUGGUUUGGAUAGAAGUAUGAUACUUGAUAGAACAUUAUGACGGAAGUUGAUCCAUGUAGCCGACCCCACCUAAUGGGAUAAGGCGUUGUUGUUGUUGUUGUUGUUGUAUCAGAAUUCAAUUCACUCUUUUGAAAGAAGAAAAAAAACUAUUUAAAACCUACUCCUGAAGUAAAUGAAUCUCUACAUGUUGAUGAACUUGUUUAGACACAAUUACAACAAAAAGAAUAUACCCCUGAAAUAAAUGAAUCUCUACAUGUUGAUCUACCCGCCUGAAUUCUUGAUUCCCGGUUUGUUACUAUAAAGCAACUUUAAGCUCCUCUUUAUUCCCAUCAAAGAAAAAGUGUAUCUUUAUGGUGUAAACAAGGUCCAAUAAAGAGAUGAAGAAAGCUAGUGAUGAGCAGUGGCAUGAUUGCUCCAUGGUGGACAAAUGAAAUCUAGAAUAUCCCCACUUUACAGAGACAAUGAUUUACAAGUCAACGCAAAUGAAGGUUAGGUUGUCUCAGACUCUCAGGAGGGUUACGGUCAAUAACAUCAACAUCUACAUUAAAUUCUAAGGCCCCACCAUAUGACGUUAUCCCCCCAAGACAUGGCUUUGUGCUCCAAAAGGGGUUUGUUAAAAAAGUACACCUCACAUAAUUGUUUUUGCUUGGUGCUCAUAUGGCCAAACUAUGUCUCAAAGAAGUGGCCUAUGAUGUUGAGAACAAGUGGUGCAAUAUUAUGCUCAGGAAGGUGCUCAUGUGACCAAACUUUGUCUCUUGAUAUUGAGAACAGAGUGUUGUAAUAGAUGCUAAGUACACAUCUAACAAACAUAUGGUUACAAGAUAAUCAUGUCUUUUCAAUAUAAAGUUACAAGUUUGAUUCUCUGAUUUGUGCUUAUGAAAAAAAAAUAUAUUAGAAAAGAUUAACUCAUUAAAUGAAUUUUAAUAGCUCAAAAAAGAUUUUUUUUUUGUUUUCGGUCAAAGAAUACCAGGAUUAUAUAAAAUAAGUAAAGUACACAUCUUGAUAUGGAAACACAUUUUUCCAAUACUAUAAAUAAGCAGUUUAUAAAUAAUAAAAAUCACAACAAUAUCAUAUUGAUAGGCAUUACAAAUAGAGUGAUAAAUAGAUCAAAAUAUAGUUUAAUGUUUUUUCUUGUCUAGUGACAUUGUGGCAAUGAAUAUGUUUUUCUCCCCUUUAUUUUUGUUCUCCAAAUCAGCAGCAUCAAAUCAGGAAGGUCUUUUCAUUGCAGCUUUACAAAAUUUAGUUACAGGAAGCAUUCAAGCAAUGCAACAAUUCUCAACAUAUAAUCACUAUUGAUCAGUUUUGACUCGUUUUAUUUCAUUAGAAGUGAAUGGAGAAACACUACCACUCAGUUGAGGGCUCUCUUCUCUGAAGUUGGAAUUAAGCAUAGCAAGUUCUCUUAGUUGUUGCCUUUUGUAAAGGUCCUGUGACUCAUCCUGCACAUGAAAAAGGGAGAAGAAUCAGAAACACUUCCUUAACUAGACAAGAGCUUCCCCAUAAUGUUAUUUUGCGCUAAGGCUUUGCUCAUAGAAAAUUUGGCUCAAGAGAAGUCACAACAAAAGAGUAGUAGCAGUUUUCCAGUUACAGGCUUCCCUUAGAGGAAAAGAAAAACAACAUAAUUGAGUGCAGAAAAAAGAGCAUGAAUUAACAUGUUUACAAUAUUGCCUUUCAGCAUUAGCCACUCAUCUGGUAACUGGAAGAGGUAGCCAACAAGGAAAAAAAAGUUACUACACUUAACUUGAUCAAUUUAGUGACACAUGAAAAAUUGUAAGAGAUACCACGUCAUAUGAGCAUUGUCAUGUCAACUAAAAUUAACAUCAUUAGUAUAAAAAAUUGGCAGAAAGACCAACUUGGUCUGACAUAGAUACUUUAAGAAACCAAAAUAAAUUUGUUAAAUUUAGGAGACCAAACUAAAACCAAAAUUAGUCUUCUCCUAACUUUUCUGUUAUAGAUAUGUUAUUUCAAAAUCAUAAAAUAUGGACUAGUGUGGAAUGGUUUUUUCUAAGUAGUAAUAGUAGAUAGAGAGUGGACCAUAUAAUAAGGGAGAGAAGCAAGGGGAAAAAUCUCAUUAAUGAAUAUGUUCAUAGCUCUACAACAGAGUUAGAAAGGUGGAGAGAUACCACUGGUUUAAGUAGCUCUUGUAUGAUUUCUUGUGCUUGCAUCAAUCUUACAUCAGCAACACUGGUAGGUAGUUCAGCUUCAAUUAUAAUGUGAAGCGGAUCAUUCAGGUGCUCAUAGCCAGGCCUUCCUCGUAGCAUUUCUUCCUUUAGAGUGAAAAAAGUAAAGCAAAUUUAGAGGUUACAAAUAACUCAUGGAAUUUAAAGGACAAUGCAUUAAGCUAGAGAUGAUACCUUGUCUAAGUCUUUAAUUGAACCUUUCCCUCUGAUAAAUACACGGCAACCUGUAGUAGCUUCCACUCGCUUCAGUGAAUUGCCCCUAGGGCCAAGAAGCCGGCCAACAAAAUUAAACUGAAAAUUAAAGCAGCCUUAGUAACUCAAAGGUCAAACAGGAUAUAAAAGUAGAGUAAAUAGUUUAUACACCAACUAUAUUGUUGUCCAAUCACAAAUCAUCAUAUAUGGUAGAAUUGUUGACUUUUACAAUAAUUUUCUUAAAAGUCAUAUCUAAUAUGAUUUCUAAUUGAUUAACAAUGUAAAUUUUUUACAUUGAUUGUACAUACAAAUUAAACUCAUAAAACUAUCAAAACAUGAAGUAAAAUGCUAUGAAGUAUGUUACAAAUCUUACAUUUGGAUAGCUAUCCUUAGGAAUAUCCAAGCGCAAUAUCUUCUUCACAAUGGGAGAACUUGGAACAACUGGUGAAGUUUGCCAAUCCAUGUUUAGUCCCUGCACACCAGCUAACCUCUGAUGUAUGACAAGCUUAACCAAUCAGUAAAAGAAACUAGAGAUUAUAAUGUAACAGAACCAUAAGAGGAAUGCUGGUACAGUGGUACAAGAUAGGAAAAAAUCAAGUUGUAGUUACUGUGUGUUAUAUAACAAAGUUUAAAGUAUACACAUUUAACAAAGAGGCAAUAUUGCCACCUUAAACAAAAUGGAGAAGAGGGAAUCUAAGCAAUUAAGUACCAGAACUGGAUAGGUUAAGAAUCAGAUUAUUUUUUUUUAAAGCAAUGCAUAAAUGAAACAUAAAUUUUAUGUUGGGGGGACAAGAAAAAGUAGGAAAUGGAGACUGUGGAGUGGUAGAGAAUUUUACACUGAAUAGAACAUAAAACUGAGGUUCUUACUUCAUGUGACAGGCUGUUCCAGCCAGUGAAGUUUGGUGUUGAGUUUGGAGAAGCCAUAUGACUCAGAUUUAUGAAUCGCAUUCUAUCAAAGUCACUAAAUCCUUGGUUCUGCAAUAAUUCAUUCUUUCCGGUAACCCUUAAAAUCUCUGAUAAUAAUAAGGUAAUAGUGACUAUAAGAACUUGUACAAAAGCUACUGAAUCAAAGAACAUAAAUAUUGUUAAUGCAACCUUUCAGAUAGUAAACCAACUGUAAAUUAUGUCUAGGAAGUGUAGUAUCAGACAUAUACAUUCAUAAAGUGGAUGCUAUCUAUAUGAACAACUUAAUUUUCAAAACAGAAUGUUAUAGAAUGGUAGCAUUAAUAAUAAAGCUGAUCAUCUGAAGGUUUGCUCUAGUCAUGCAAAAGACAAUGCCUAAGUAUUUUUUUUCUAGACUAGAGGAUGCCUAGAACCAAUGUUAGAAAGAAUUUUGCCUUGUGUAAAAGGAAGCAAUGACUAAAUUGCCACCAUCUUUUAGUACCACAUAUUCUUUUUGUGGGUCAUCCAAAAAGUAUAUGUUUCCUUUUCAUGAUUGAUCAACAGAUUACAAUUCUAGAGAACCAUAGCUAAGAAUUCAGUUGCUUGUAUUUCAAAUCAUAUAUGUUUAAACUUUUAAUUCCUAAGGAAUUUAGUAACAAUGAUUGAUUUAAGCAUUAGCUGGUUCAGACCGGUGAGAAGGUCAGAAAUUGACACAAUCCAGUGCAUUUGAAAGAAGAUUAAAUGAAGGUUUUAAAAAACGGUCCGCCACCAAAAUUUCAAGGGCGGCACCAAGGUUUUUAGAGUUUCUACGACCACAAUUGUGACCACAUAUUGACGAAACUGCGGCCGCAAUUCAAAACCUUUGAAGAGAAAGAGCAGUGAAACACUAGACCAUGUAACCAGAAAGUUUAUGUUAUGACUUGGCCUAGUUCAAAUGAAGAUCAGUUAAAAUGAAUGAAAAAAUAAGAGGGGAAAAUUCAUAGCAGAAUCCUUGAAUACAUAUGGAAUAAACGGACCUUGAUUAAGGAGUCUGGUACAUAAGGGUAGAACUUGCAUGAAAGGUCCAAGCUUCUGUCUUUCUGCUAGCAGCUCCGUUAAGUACUGACUAGAACAAACAUAAAUAAGAACAUAUAAAUCAGAACACACACACACACACACACAUAUAUAUAUAUAUAUAUAUUGGUAAAUUAAAAAUAAAAAACUUCCACAAUAAAUGUCAGAAGAACUAUCCCUUACAUACCUAUCAACAUCAAAAUUGCCUCUCAUGUUUAUGUUUGGUGAAUUGGCUCCUUGGGGUGAAGGUAAGGAAAUCUGAUUGUACAAAUUAGACAUCAAUUUGUAAUAUGGUUUGGUUUGGCCAGAAGGACUAGAGAAUAAUUUCAAAGGCAACAAAGGAAGAAGAAAAAAGAUUAGUGAAAAAUCCUGCUAUGAAGAAAACAGAAUCAAUCACCUAACCUAUUAUGCUUGAGAGACGAGAGAAAAAAAUGGUAAGGGAGAAGAANNNNNNNNNNNNNNNNNNNNNNNNNNNNNNNNNNNNNNNNNNNNNNNNNNNNNNNNNNNNNNNNNNNNNNNNNNNNNNNNNNNNNNNNNNNNNNNNNNNNAGGGAGAGAAACAAAAAAGAAAGGAAGGUACAAAACUACAAAUGAAAAGAAAAAAAAAAAAAAAAAGGAUGGCCACUUCUGUAGUAGCUCAGUAGUUAAAGCAAAGCCUUAAAGUGUGUUGUGUCACUCUGUACCUCUCUCUCUCUGGGUGUGUUUUAAUUGUUGUUCUGUUGGCUUCUGUUGCAUAUGCAACACUUUAUCAUGUUUGUGUGUUUUCCUAAUUCCUUAACAAACACAAGCAGGUGGAUUUUUUUGUGUUUUACUAGAAAACAAAGGGGGGGGAGAAAAACUCUAACAAAAGGGAGGGAUUUAGGGAUAUUGAAGAGAUUGAUUAAUAGGAUUAUAUAGUCAAAACUAUAAAAGAAAAAGAAAUUUCCUCAGAUAUUCACUUGAAUUCUUAAGUUGCAGAAGAAAAAAUUAGAAAAAAAUGCUGAAGCAAUCAUGCAGACUCCAAUAGAUGGAUUUGCUUCAAUCAAUUGGAAAGAAGAAGCAAAGGAAGACGCCACCCCAAUGACCAAUGUGGGUCACCAGUUCUCUGCCACCAGAUCAUGAGCAUGUAGAUUGAAACCAAUCACUAUCAUGCUUCACGCAUAUAUAUAUAUAUAUAUAUAAAUUUUAAUUUGAGAUAUUAGUAUACAUUUAUUUAUCUUUAUACGUAAUAAUAAUAAUAAUAAUAAUAGCAUAAUAUCAAUGUCCAAUAUAUAUCAAUAUAUUG
Molecule: long non-coding RNA, 79243 nt
Filed under: Glycine max (soybean)
Lineage: Eukaryota; Viridiplantae; Streptophyta; Magnoliopsida; Fabales; Fabaceae
Description: long non-coding RNA (GMAX_LNC002524)
Source: RNAcentral